AAAAAAAAAAAAAAUAUAAAGUAAAAGCAAUUUGAAGGACAUUUCCCUAUGGCAGUUUCGCGGAAAAAGAUUAAACAUAAAAGGGUGAGUAUAAACAUACCCAGUAAGGGACCCACUACUGAUCCUGUUUAGAAGAAAAAUAAAAUUGUUAACUUCCUAUUGGAGGUGCCCUGCACUUUAAAAGUCUUGUGAUCAUGUAGGAAUACACAUAAGCAGUCCAAUGCCCUAAAGGACACAAAUACUAGUCUAGUGCUCUGCAGAAAGCACAUGUCAGUCUAGUGCUCUCGAAGAAUGCACAUGUCAGUCUAUUGCUCUCGAAGAAUGCACAUGUCAUUCUAGUGCUCUCGAAGAAUGCACAACAGGUGGUGAUCCUGUAGGACACCUGCAAGGCACACUACCCAAUCGACAAAGCUAACAAUUUUCCCUUAGUCCAUUAUAAACAUUUAAUCAAUCCAUUCCUAGUAUAGUCAAACUACUCCAUCAUAUCAUCAAUCCAACUUAACACACUUACGUUCAAUCUAUUCAAUCUAUCACAAAAUCAGUUGAUACUAUAACAACACACCAGACAGUCAAGAUAUAUAUAUAUAUACAUAACACCUUUCUCAGUUUACAAAUACAUUAUCCAUCGUAUCUACUUCUAUACCAGUAAGUUUACAAACACUAACUGUUGAGUUUCUACAGUAGAUUCUUGAAGAUGUGACUCUUGAACAGAUGGAUUCUCAUGGAUGAUCACAUGUUUGUUAUUUUGAUGGUCAUCAUUCUUGUCUAGAUUGUGAUGACUAGAAUCAUCACGAAGAUCAUCAUACAUGUUGUUAAUAUCAUCAAACAAUUGAUUCUGAUUCUAGUAUAGAAAGAAAAAAGGAUAAUAAAAAAAUAGUUACAAAAUGAUCGUGUAUCCUUAAGCAAACAAUCGUGUAGAAUAUCUAAACGGUUGUUUUACCAAGGGUGAUCGAUAUUUUAGAUGGGAUAUGCGAUCGUUCAUAUGUGAUAUGUGAUCGUGUAAAGAUAUAUCAAACCUUUGUUCUGUCAGAAGUCGUGCUAAGAAGAGUUGAAAGCUUGUAAUAAGAUCCAUCAAAACUGAAAGAUUUUACAUCAACACGUUCCUGACACAGUAAUGCAGUAUCAAUGAGCAUCAAAUUACGUGAGAUACGUAUUAGAAAAUAUCUAACUGCUCAGUUAAUUUUUUAUGGACAUCAAAUCACCUUUUUUCAAGCUUAAGGAAGGAAAUGUCGACACUAUAUAUGUCAGAGUUGUGCAUUGCAAUGGAAGUGCCAACACGAGGUGAUACAUGUGUGUCUGGGAUGUAAAUGCCACUCCCCGACUAGGACCAACAUAGACUUAGGGAGAAAGCAUGCUAGGAAUUGGAGUUGUGUCCUCAAUUUCUUCAAGGGACUUGAGCAUUUCUUCUUACACUAGAAUGUCUCCUGUUCAGAGAGUUUAUAGGAUUUCUCAAGGCCAUUUUUGCAUACUUAACAGCUCUUGACAACGGUAGAGAGUCUAACUCUACACUUUCAAGGGGUUCCAACUCCACCACUCGCUGAGCCAAAGAUAGAGACGAAUCAUUAAUGAUCCAGUAAGCAACAUGAAACCUUGUAAUUUUGGGGUUAACGGUAGUCCCUCCCAUUACUAGCUCAACACUUAAACGGAGUCUCCUCUAUAAAAUAUAAAAUAAUACAGACACAAAUAGUGAAUGAAAUCUUGUGACGUAACAAACACAAAUUUUAGGUAUACUGCAAUUUGACUAAAUAUUGAACAAGAAAACCCAAGGGAAUACACAAAAAUCCAACGUUUUUAGGGGUCAAUUUGGAAAAUGGCAAAACUACUUUUUCUUUUCAAUUUUAGCAAACAACAUUUUUUGCGCGUGCAUGGUAUUUUAUAAAAUACCAAAAUAUUCAACUUCUCCAACUAUAAUUAUUUUGUUUUUACGUUAUAAUUAAUUUAUGUUAUGUAUUUAUCAACUUUUAAUUAAUUUUUACUUGAAAUAGAUACAUUAACUCAUAUCAUAACUUUUCUCUUAAAAUCUCAGGACUCAAUUAAUUAAUUCAAUAUUUUAAUAACAUUAUUCAAUCUUAUUAAUUUCAAAAUAAUCUAAUUGAAUUUGAAUUUCAAAAUAACCAAAUUGAAUUUCAAAAUUACAAAAUUAUUAUUUUCUAGAAUUUGAGAAUCUCAACGAUAGAUUUUAUAUUAAAAUAAACUUAUCUCAAAAUAAUUUUAAUGACUUGAAUAUCAAGAUAAUUAAAUUAUUAUUUUAAAAAUUGGAAGAAAAGCACAAAAAGCGCACACGCCCACUCACGUACACACGCACGCGCGCGUAUACGCACACACACGCACACGCACACGCACAAAAGCGCACACGUGGACACUCACACCCACGCACACGUAGACAUACACACCCACGCACACGUGGACACGCGCAUACGCACACACGUACGCACUCACGCACACGCACGCACACACGCACAUAUGCACAAAGAUGUAUAAAUGAAUUAAAAUUAAAAAAUAACUACAAUAAUUUGACUUACUAACGUUAAUUAAAUUAUAAUUUCUAUCAAUAUUGGUUUAAAAGUGUCAUUAAUGUAAUUAUUUCAAUAUAAUGCACUCUUAUCCAAUUUUACGAACAAAAAACAAGUCGAAUAUGUACCAUUAGAUGACACUCUUUGUCAUAAGAGAUAUAGCAACGUUUUUAUGGGUCAUUUUGAAAAAUGGCAAAACUACUUUUUCUUUUAAAUUUUAGCAAAUAGAAUUUUUUACACGUGUCCAUGAUAUUUUAUAAAAUACCAAAAUAUUCACCUUCUCAAACAGUAAUUAUUUCGUUUCUACGUUGUAAUUAAUUUAUGUUAUGCAUUUAUUAGCUUUUAAUUAUUUUUUACCUGAAAAAGAUACAUCCUUUUUCUUAAUAUCUCGGGACUCAACUAAUUGAUUCAAGAUUUUAAUUUUAUUCAAUCUUACUAAUUUCAAAAUAACCUAAUUAAAUUUCAAUUUCAAAAUAACAAAAUUAUUAUUUUUCGAAAUUUGAGAAUCUCAACGAUAGAUUUUGUAUCAAAAAUAACUUUAAUUGAAUUUCAAAAUUAAAAAAUAUUAACUUGUUCGCACACAAGCACACGCGCACACGUGCACAACGCACGCACACACACGCACACACACCCAUCCACACACGCACACGCACACGCACAUAUGCACACACGCACAAAGAUGUGUAAAUUAAUUAAAGUUAAAAACAAAUACAUUCAUUAUGUUCAGAAAGAGUUUUAAACCAUGUUCAUUUGACUUAAUAACAUUGAUUAAAUUAUAAUUUCUAUCAAUAUUGGCUUAAAAGUGUCAUUCGUGUAAUUAUUUCAAUAUAAUGCAGUCUUAUCCAAUUUUACGAACAAAAAACAAGUCAAAUAUGUACCAGUAGAUGACACUCUUUGUCAUAAGAGAUAUAGCAACGUUUUUAUGGGUCAUUUUGAAAAAUGGCAAAACUACUUUUUCUUUUAAAUUUUAGCAAAUAGAAUUUUUUACACGUGUCCAUGAUAUUUUAUAAAAUACCAAAAUAUAAACCUUCUCAAACAGUAAUUAUUUCGUUUCUACGUUGUAAUUAAUUUAUGUUAUGCAUUUAUUAGCUUUUAAUUAUUUUUUACCUGAAAAAGAUACAUCAACCCAUAUCAUAACUUUUUUCUUAAUAUCUCGGGACUCAACUAAUUGAUUCAAGAUUUUAAUUUUAUUCAAUCUUACUAAUUUCAAAAUAACCUAAUUAAAUUUCAAUUUCAAAAUAACAAAAUUGUUAUUUUUCAAAAUUUGAGAAUCUCAACGAUAGAUUUUGUAUCAAAAACAAUUUUAAUUGAAUUUCAAAAUUAAAAAAUAUUAACUUGUUCGCACACAAGCACACGCGCACACGUGCACAACGCACGCACACGCACGCACACACACUCAUCCACACACGCACACGCACACGCACAUAUGCACACACGCACAAAGAUGUGUAAAUUAAUUAAAGUUAAAAAAACAAAUACAUUAAUUAUGUUCAGAAAGAGUUUUAAACCAUGUUCAUUUGACUUAAUAACAUUGAUUAAAUUAUAAUUUCUAUCAAUAUUGGCUUAAAAGUGUCAUUCGUGUAAUUAUUUCAAUAUAAUGCGGUCUUAUCCAAUUUUACCAACAAAAAACAAAUCGAAUAUGGAUCAGUAGAUCUACACUCUUUGUCAUAAGAGACAUAACAACGUUUUUAGGGUCAUUUUGAAAAAUGACAAAACUACUUUUUCCUUUGAAUUUUAGCAACUAGCAUUUUUUGCACGUGCAUGGUAUUUUAUAAAAUACCAAAAUAUCAACAUUCUUCAACUGUAAUUAUUUCGUCUCUACAUUGUAAUUAAUUUAUGUUAUGCAUUUCUCAGCUUUUAAUUAUCUUUUACUUGAAAUAGAUACAUCAACUCAUAUCAUAAUAUUUUUCUUAAUAUCUCGAGACUCAACUAAUUAAUUCAACAUAUUAAUAAUUUUAUUCAAUCAUACUAAUUUCAAAAUAACCUAAUUGAAUUUGAAUUUCAAAAUAACAAAAUUGAAUUUCAAAAUAACAAAAUUGAAUUUCAAAAUAACAAAAUUGAAUUUCAAAAUAACAAAAUUAUUAUUUUUCGGAAUUUGAGAGUCUCAACGAUAGAUUUUGUAUUAAAAUAACCUUAAUUGAAUUUCAAAAUUAAAAAAUAUCAACCUGUUCACUAUCUUUAUCUCAAAAUAACAUUAAUGCCUUAAAUAUCAAGAUAAUUAAAUUAUUAUUUUAAAAUUGGAAGAAACUCAACAUUAAAAAUAUUAACUUGUCGGACACAAGCAUAGAAGCACUGCGCACACACGUACACAUGCACACUUACACACACGCGCGCACACGCACACCUACACACAGACACCCACAGACGCACGAACCCACGCACACACACAUGCACACGCGCACGCAUGCACACACACACCUAUCCACACGCACACAAGCACACACACAUGCACAAACGCACACACGUGUACGCACAAACCUUAUCUCAAAAUAGUUCCUAUUUUUGCUGACAGUUUAUUUUUUGCCAUCGAUAGAGGAUCUUCCAAUAGACCUACGUGACGGUGUGUGUUGACAGCUUAAUUUUGUUGGCAAAAGAAAAGUUGAUUAGUUUUUGAAGAUUUACUGACGAUAUUUGUCAUCGACAAAGGGUAAAUUUCUUGUAGUGCAUGUACAUCAAACAUAUCAAAUUUGUUAAGUGUACCAAUGAAGUAUAACAAGUUUAUUAGUGGUGUAUCACGUGUAUCAAACUUAUUAGUGAAGUCUUUAAGUGUAUCAAACUAAUCAAGUGUAUCAAGGCCUCAGGGGUAUCAAGUGUAUCAAGAAGAAUCAAGUGUAACGAGAAGUAUUAUGUGGAACGAGAAGUAUUAUAUGUAUGAAGAUGUUUCAAGUGUGUAUCAAAAAGUAUCGAGUGUAUCAAUGAGUACCGAGUGCAUGAAUUGUAUCUAUCAAAUGUAUCAAGUGUAUCAGUAAGAAGUAUCAAGUGUAUCAAGGGUAUUAGGUGUAUCAGACGUGUAUAAGGUGUAUCAAAUAUACAUCAAUAACGAGGGCAUUUGUGACAUUUUACCUCUUGAUGUGUGAGUUGGUCUUUGUUUUUGUCAUUUUCUCAAAUAAUAAAGUAUGUGUUCUAUGGACUUAAUUAUUAUAACUUAUUUUGCCAUUUUCGCAAGUGUCCCUUAAUUGUAAUACAUGUAUAUGUGACAUAAUCUAAUCAAACUAACUCAUAAAUGGACUUAAUGUAUCAAGAGGUAUUAGGUGUAUCAGACGUGUAUAAGGUGUAUCAAAUGUACAUCAAUAACGAGGGCAUUUGUGACAUUUUACCUCUUGAUGUGUGAGUUGGUCUUUGUUUUUGUCACUUUCUCAAAUAAUAAGGUAUGUGUUCUAUGGACUUAAAUAUUAUAACUUAUUUUGCCAUUUUUGCAAGUGUCCCUUAAUUGUAAUACAUGUAUAUGUGACAUAAUAUAAUCAAACUAACUCAUAAAUGGACUUAAUCUAUCUCAUGGACCACGAAUUCUUCAAUUACUUGCAAAUUUGGUGAGUUCCUUCAAAUGGUGGGCGGAGAGCUUAAUUUUGAGAGAGAGGAAAAGUCGUGAAGAGUAUUUGCGAGAGAGGGGGGAACGUCGCCAGAGAGCAUUUGCGAGAGAGCUAAAGACAGCGACGAUGUGGGAUGAAGUAAGGUUUUUUUCGGUCAUUGUUCACAAGUGGGAUGAAAGCUUCGAAUUAUUUGUUUUAAAUCAAAAAACGUAUGAUUGAAGGAAAACAUUGAUUUUUAUUAGGGUAAUUUUUUAAUGACACAUAAUUUAUGCCAUUAUUUACAAUGCCAAAAUUUUGUCAAGAAAACUCAAUUUGUGUCACAAAAAAAUUUGUAUUUUUAUUUUUUUAACGACACAUUUUAUUCCCUCAUAUCCCUUUUUCUUGAUUUCAAGUGUCAUUAAAACUUAUAUUUCUAAAUAAAUUUAUUCGACGAAAGUGGCUAGAUUGGUGGGUUUGACGGCGAAGGCUUGUUGUGGGAGCAACGACAACAGUGGUUGGAGUGUGGAAUCGACGACGGCAAGUGGCAAAAAAUUGGGGGCAAGGGUUCUUCAUAACGACUCGAUAGCCCACUUCGAAUUUUUUUGAAAUUUGAGGUUUUUUCAUUUGAAAAUUUUUUUAAUGACAAAAAAAUUGACGUUAAUUAAUGACGCAAAAUUUGUGUUGAAAUAAAUUAAAUUGUGUCAAUAUGAUUGUUUUAAGAAAUAAUCCAUAUUUAUAUUUUCAACAACACAAUGUACCUCAUCCCACCUCUUUUUUCUUUUAUUUUCAACGACACAAUGUCUUGAUUAAAAUCCAUUUUUCUAGUAGUGACUGAAAAAAAAACUGGACAGAAUCAUAAUAUCUUUGAUAAUUAAAUCACCAGUUGGUUUGAACAUAUAUAAUCUUGGAUCUAUUCUAUUAUGAUAUGACCAUGGUACAUCAUGAACAUACAUUGACUAAAAAACUUAAAUUGAUGAGUGAAUGUAAUAAAUUUAAUAUUAAUUAUAUGAUCAAUACUUUACACAUGUAUAUUGGUAUAUCAGUCAAUAACAGUAGUAAGACAAAUUAUAAAAUAUAAGGGAUAAAAGUCCUACACAUGCAUGUAUGGUAUACUCUCUUGAUAGCAAAAUGCAUUUAUGUCAACUCAUGUUUGAAUGCAUUUAUGUAGGAAAUUCAAUAAAAUAAUUAAGAAACCUUGCAAUAUGUGAGAGAUAUACGAACUUCAAACAAAUUUUACAAGUUUCAGCAAAAAUUUUCAAACAACUUUUAAAGUUUAAGCAAAAAGUAACCGUAGGUAGGAAGGGGAGCAAAAGUGGGGUCUCGAAUUAAUUCUGAAAAAUUAGUAGGCUUUCAAAAUUUAGGUUCUAGAAGUAGAAUUAUUGCAGAAAAAUAAAUAAUUGCAUCAUUCAAAUUGAAUCAGACAUAUCAGGAUGUAUAUAUUCUCCACAACGUAUAAUGGAGUAUAAACAUAAAGUUUCUAUAUACAAAGCUAUGUAUCUCUACCCUUGACUUCUCUUUCUCUCUUUCUACCUUUUUUAUCCUUUCUUUCUUCCAUUCACUCAAUACACUUGCAAGAACCUUCAUUUUUUUGUAUUUAAAUUUUCUUGGCACCAUCCUUUUUUUUAAUUAUCAAGGCUUUGUUAUUGUGUACCAGUAUUGUGUCGUGCCUCCUUCACUUCUCAUCAUCAUUUUCAUGUCACAUCUCUACCUUGUCAAUUUUCGUUUUUCACUCAGCUUUCUUUCUUCUUUUGUCUUCACUACUUUCUUCGCUCCUUCUUCUCAAGCUCUAACUUUUGCUAUUAUCAACCAGUCUCAAAUGACCAUUGGAAAACCUAUAGCCCACUGAGAGGCAGCCAAUAUAGUAAUGUCUCUAAUGAUAAACUCCAAUGAAAUCAAAAGUUCUUCUUUAAGAUUUGGAAAAAUAUAUUAGAUAAACCCGGACGUGGUGAACGCGGUGAACGCAGACGCACGGACGGUGAACACGGCAGAAGUUAGAGAUCCUCAGAGAGAACUUGGCAUUUUCGAAUGCGGUAGAGACAAGUCUAGGGCUUCAAAGGAUUCAACCCAAUAUUUUCUUUAUAUAUAUAUAUAUAUAAUAUAUAUUAUAUAUAUAUAAAUAUAUUUAAUAACACUUGACGUUUUCAAAAACGUCAAGAAAAACGAUCUUACUUAACGUCUAAAAAAACAUCAAGAAAUUUAAAAAAUAACUCUCUCUGGCUUUUUAUAAAAAUUCUUGACGUUUUAAAACAUAAAGAAUUUUUAAGAUAUUUCUUGACGUUUUUAAAAUGUCAAGUAAAAGUACAUAUUACUUGACGUUUGAAAAUUUUGAAGAAUAUUGAAUAUAUAAACAUUCUUGACGUUUAAAAAUGUCAAAAUUUUUAUAGAUAUUUCUUGACGUUUUUAAAACGCCAAGAAAAAAUACAUAUUAGUUGAUGUUUAAUAAACGUCAAGAAAUCUGAAAAUUGACCUACCCGCCUUUUCGUAAAAAUUCUUGACGUUUUAUCUUUGGAACUACUCCUUUCUUGACGUUUUUUUUGAAAAAAAUGUCAAGAAAGAAAAACAACAAACGUCAAGAAAGGCCUUUUUUGUAGUAAUGACAUACAUAAAUAUAUAUAUAUACAUAUAUAUAUAUAUAUAAUGAAUUAAAAUGGUUUUGUUGCUUUACUGUUUUACUCUAUAAAGGAAGAGCAUUAUAAAUAUAUUAUUGAGGAAACAUUUUUUGAAAUGACUGGUUUUGGAAGUGUCAUUAGAUUUUUAGUUAGUUAAGCACAUUUUCCUCCCAAAUAGUAGUCGAAAUACAACUUUUUUUAAGAAGAAGAAACCGAAUCAUUCAAACUAAGAUAAUCCUAGGAUAAGAGUCAUUAUCUAUUAACAUAGAGCUAAAGUUACAAGGUUGAAGGCUAGAGGGAAGCCCGAAACAACCUAAUCUAACAAAGCUUAAAGUUAAGAGUUGGUAGUAACAUCAUAUUGGUUACAAGAUGAAUGACGCCUAGACCAAACUCCGAUCAAGUUACAUAUGUCUUCCCACAAGUAAACAAUAAACCUUGAUUUAUCCUUAAAAAUUCUAUUGUUUCUUUCUAUCCAAACAGUCCAAAGUAAGCCAGUUAUGGAGGGAGGAAUACACAUUAGAAAGCUCAGUUAUGGAUGGAGGAAUACACAACUUUUUCUCAUGGUCAUUUUCCUCGUGGGCAUUAUCUUCAUGUUUCUUCUUAUUCCGACUAAAAUACAAGCACAAAUUAUUCUUCGCCUUCGUAUAGGUUUGUUUGAAGAAGAUUAAAAAAGUCCUUAAUUUAUCUCGACACUUCCAAAACCAGAAUAUAAUACCCGUGCUACAUAAAUCCCUCUUUCCAAAUAGUCAAACAUGAACUAUCCAUGAAUAUCUUGAAUAAACAAGAGAAACCCUAACUAAACCCAAAUAGAAAAUACGCUGCAAUCUAAAAUAUACUUAAAGAAACAAAAAGAAGUUUUAAUGAUGUGGGUUUUUUACUGAUCUUCUUCAACAACAAAAUAACUCAACGCCACAGUUCAAUUUUUCCUUCCACGAAUUGGUUUUUAAAGAGUUUUCACCGCGAAUUUAUCUUUUUGGUUCAACAAGUAAACAACAUGUGAAUCCCCAAAUGCAAGGUUUUAUUAAAAAAUUAAAAUAUAAUUUUUUUAAAAAAAUUAUAAUACCUAAUUUUUUUUUAUAUAUUUAUAACCUAAUUUUCUGUCAUUGCAUACUUGAGAGAAAUAUAUUUUCAAUUAGCAUAAUAACCUUUAUAUAGUAAAUUAAAUUUGUAGAAUGAGAAAAGACCUUAGAUCCAAAAAAGUUAUUUAUUUAUUAUUGGAGUGAAUUGUCUAAUUAAUGUAGUUAAUGGAUGGUUUUGUAACCAUAAAAAUAAUGAAAAUAAUUUUCUAAAAGAAUGAAUGAAAAUUUGGAAAGUUAAAAGGUUUUAGGAAUUAAAAAAAGGGUGUAACAUUAUAAAAGACUACCAAAUAUACUGUAAGAGACAUGCAUUAAAGAAGCUAAGGCAUGCAUACUACCAAAUAUACUAUAAAUAAACCAGAAUUCUUUUUAAGAAAUUAAACAACUAAUUAAAUAUAAAGAAGAAAGAUUAGAAAAUGAAUGAUCAAACAAACUAUGACUCAUUUAUUUUUGACAGGUUCGGCCAGUAUCACCUGACAAUUCAUUUUCACCAAGAGAAUAAACAUGAGUAGCCUUGGAAUCAAGUUCCUCCGAUAAAAGCCACGGAGUUGAUGGGUUAGAGACAGAACCAGAAUUUGAGUUCAACGAUCUGGAUGGAAAAUUCUGAAACUAGCAGCAACAAGAAGUUAAGAUAACGAAUUAUUUUCAAUAUAGAAAGGCUAAUUGUAAGAAGUUGUUAAUGAAGUGUCCAAAUGCAUUAUGGUAAUAUUGGGUGCAGAUUGUUUGGAAGUUUUAUCCGUGUGCUGUGAAGCACCACAGAGUUGAAGCAUAUGAAACCAGUGUUUAUCUGACAAAAAAUAAUGUCAUGAUCAUUGCCUUUCCAUUCCAUAAAUUUAUGGAUAGCAAAAGAAAGAGAACUCUCAACACAUGAAUCACCAUAAAGACACACAUGACAACAUUAUUUUGGAUGAAGUUCUAAUAUUGCAACCAUGGAGGAAAAAUCAGCAAAUCUUAAAUAGAUGUAGUAGUCCAAAUGAUAAAAGUUUGUCUCAAGAUAAUAUUUCAGUAACUGCAGAUGCAUUGUGCUGAAUCUAACUCUUGUGUUUCACGGUAAUGAACAAGGACAAUGUGUUCAAAGGUCCUGAACAAAAAGCAGAAGCAAGUCAUAAUUAUAUAAGUAGAACACGAUAUACUGCCACUGUCUAAUUUCAUUUUUCUUUGCUUGUGGCAUGAUGGGGAUAGACCCCACUGAAACAACUGGUAGCAAGCAAUUUAACAAUUUUCUUUCAACCAUAACAUACUUAUCUAGGAGCCAAUAACCCGCGAACAAAGGUUGGGCUAUCUAGUCCGUGGCAUAGUAUACAUGUAUCCUUUCUACAUUACCAACCUGCUGAAGAGAAAGAAAAGAUUAUCAAAGCACACCUUUCCUUGGUUAUUAAGGCUGUAAAAGAAUGAAAAUUACCAUAAAUCUAAACAUAGUUAAUAUUAGACCAUUGAACAACUUAUAGAUUCAAAAGGAAAGACUCAAACCACCAAUAGACUGGUUAAUCAUUUAAAAUGAUCUCCAACAACAUGAUACGCAGUAUAUCGUGCUAGAUCCAUAAUUACCAGAUGUGGACUCCUAUGGUAAUUUCAUUGAUGAUACGCAGCUAGUAGGCAAGAUUAUGAAAUGAAGACGGUAUGUGAGACGAUUGAAAAGAUCAAGAUGAUAAAAUUAUAGGGAUUUGAAUUUAUAUCUUAAGAACACCAGAGUCAAAUGCUUAAGAUGAUUAACUGUGUUAAAUUUAACUCUAUAAUAUAUAAAUUAUUAGCAAAAACAGUAGAAAUUACUUCAAAUUUGUAGAGAGAACAUAUAAAUUAUAUUCUAGAGAAAGAGCAUCUGAAUUAUAUUCUACAGAAACACGAGCCCAUAGUAUAUGUACUGAGUAGCAAUGACAGUGAAAAAGGGAAUAGUAAGUAACUAAUCUCAUAAACCCCUUUCUCACAUCUAACCAAGUUCUUUCACAACAUGCAAAAGCAUCAAAAUAUUUAAGAAAACUUCCAAUAUUGCAUUUGGAACUCAUUGAUUGACUUCAACGUUUAAGAGUCCUAAAAGACACAGCUUACUUUCUCACCUCUCACCACUAAACCUAUGGCAACAUCUUUUUAUAAGAUAUUAAGCUAAUCUUUAGAUUGUUUACCGAAUAAUCGUCUAUUGUUUUGUAAUUGAUCCCACCAAGCGCUUACGCCACCUUGAAGUUUGAGAGCAACUAAUCGAACCUUCUUGUGUUCGGGUGUAUUGGCAUAGUCGAAAAAAAUUUCUACGUUCUUGAUCCAAUCAAGAAACUUCUCCACGUCCAUUUGACCAUUGAAGGUAGGGAGAUCCACUUUCAUACGUAUUUCUUGAUCUUCUUGAAAGUAUGGUCGAAGUCCAAGCCUUUGUUGAGGUUCUUGAUGAAUGUUCAGCAAGUUGUUCAUCGGAAGAGUCAGAAUCGUUUAAGAAAUUUCCAAGUACGUUGUUUCCAUACAAUCGAUUAUUGUUGAUGUGAAUAGGUUGAUUUCUUAGUAGUUCUUGGUUUACAACAGGGUUUAUUGGUUUUUCUUGUCUUUCUUGGUUUGCUGCAAUUGGGUUUCUUGGGGGCUGAAUUGCUUCUUCUAAAGGUUGGACAUGAAAUCGGGUAAAAAGGUUUGUUAAUUCUACUAACGAUUGCUGUAUAUUCGAUUGCCCUUUUCGAAGUUCUUCAAUAGCUUGUUCUACCAACUGCAAGCGUUGGUUGAAGGAGGCUUCCGCGUCCAUGGAUAAGAGUGGUAGGAUCCAAGUUUUUUUAGGGAAGAGUGAGCUAGGAUCACGCUCUGAUACCAAUUGAUGCAGUAAUUGCAAAGCUAGAAAUCUUUAUGUAUAAUGCCUCUUUUUUUAUGUCUUAUUAAUGAAAAUGAGAAGCUUUUUUAUAGGCUGGAGAUUACAAGAGUUGUUAAACUAACUUGGGGUUGAGUUAGUUUAACUUGGAGUUGAGUUAGUUAUAACUAACUCAAGAUACAAAAUUGGUAAUUCAAAUAACUAAUCCUAAACUAUAAAAAUGGUAAUUCAAACCCCUCCUCUAGGAUAAAACUCAAGAAACAUCAAGAAGGUAGAUGUUCUACAUCAAAGUGUAGAGAACGAUUCAAAAUCCUUGGUGAAAGGAAUGAAUGUUAACUAAUGUGUGUUUAUGUGAAAUUGUUAUGUUAUGAGUAUGUUAAGGAUAAAGAAUGGUUUAUGCGAGAUAAAAUUAUUUGAUGUUGUUUAUGCGAAAUGAUGUCUAUGAAAAGGUAUUGCGAAAAGGAUUUCAUAAAACCUUAGUCUUUUAGACAUUCUUUCAAAAAUUCAUCUUCCAAGAUGAGGUGUUUAGGCCAAGUAGAGAAGAAGGUUGAAGGAUUUGCAGCGAGAUGACCAGACGUUUUGAAAAUAGUUAAGCAUUGGUUGUUUGGUCAAAGUGUUGUAAUUAUGUAUCAAACACAUGUUAUUAAUAAACAUCUUGGUAGGUAUUUAUUAUACUAAAGUCAAAGUGUUGGACUUUAGUAUUGCAUGGACAUACAAUUUUGAAUGAAAAAUCCUUAUAAAUGGGGCCUUUGAACUCAUUUGAUGGGUUGGCUAUUAUAUUUGGGCUUUCACACCAAAUGGAAUUUCUUUUUCUUAUUUACUUAAAAAAAAAAGAAAAUUUACCACGCCCAUUUUUUUCAUCUAUUUCUCUCGUCCGGUUCUUUCAUCCAACGGGUCCCACAACUCGAUUAUGAGUCUAGAGGAUACUAAGUCAAACUUAGUGGUUGUUCGAAUAAAACGCAGCUUCAAAUGUAAGUAUUCUAAAAACCUUAUUUUUUGGUUUAGUCUCGUUAACUAAGCCCAAUUAGGGUAGAAUUUCGAUUCUUUUUCUGUUGUGCAUGUCUUAGUUCUAUCAGUAACUCCUUUCAGGGUGAUAGCUCUCAUCAGCAGACUUUCCAUUGCUGGUUUCUUCCUUAGUCAUCAUUGUAUUGUUGUUUUCCACAAUAGAUAGGGUGAGUUGCAGUUUUACAUGAAAUGCACUGCUCAACCCACACUCUUUUCUCACUAGUUCCUUAUUCUCAAUCUUCAACGCAAAUUUCAUCAUCUGGGCCAACCCAAUCGGUUCCACGGUUUCCACUUCCAUUUUUAUUCAUGGGCUAAGCCCAAUCAUCAAAGUCUCCUCUAACACUACCGUUUGAAGAAAUGCUACCAGAGCUAAAUAUCGAUCAAAUCGGUUGCGGUAUUCUUCUACAUUCAUUUCUGUUUGAUUGAGAAAAAUCUUCCAACCAAAGUUCCUUCUCGAAUUGAUCGAAACUGUACAAGCAUUCGUUCUUUCAGGUCAGCCCAAUUCUUAAAAACUUCCAACUCUUCUUGUGCUUGGUACCAAUCCAAUGCCAGAUCAUCAAAACUAAUAACGCCUGUGGUUAAUUUCUCUGAAUCGGUAAGAUCAUGUAUCUUAAAGAAGCGAUAGGCUCUAAAUGUGAGACCCAUUUCUAAUUUGAGUAAUGAAGUAAAAUUGGCUAGGUAUUAAGAAUUUGGCGUUUGAAUAAAUCAACGAAAAGGAUUAAGCGAUAAAAAAAUUUAUGGUUAAGUAUACGUUAUUGCGAUUCAGUGGGUAGUUCGCGAAGGAAGUUGUGCGACCCAUUUCUAAUUUGAGUAAGGAAGUAAAAUUCGGCUAAGAAUUAAGAAGUUGGUGUUCAAAUAAAUCCAUGGAAAGAUUAAGUGAUAAGAUCUUUUACGGUUAAGUAUACUUUUUUGCGAUAAGUGGGUAGUUCGCGAAAGAAGUUGUGCGAUAAUGUAACACCCGAACUCUAAGGUAAUUAAUUUAAUCGGACCAUUCGAUAUUUUUACUCUUAAUUUUUGUUCGACGUCAUUUUGUUGUUUUGUCUUAAAAAAAAAAGUGUUGGAAAAGUCUUUCAUAAUAAUAAUAUAUUAUUAUUAUUAUUAUUAAUUAGCAUAAAAAAAAGGAAAAGAAAAAGAAAUUAAAAUAUCUUUUUCCUCUCUCCCCUCUCUCACGCGUGCGACACCCUCUCUCCAUCUUUUUCUUCUUCUCUUUCCUGUACCCUAACCCAGCCGACCAUCAUCUUCUCCCCUUCCCUUGCCGUUCAGAUCCAUGGCCUCCGCCCACCGCCGCGUGACCCUCUGCCCAGCCCCGCCGCGUGACCUCUGUCUCCGUCGAAGCCAAGUCCAGCCGUCGUCCAUUCCUUUCCUCUCUUCUUCUCCGUUCGUGAAGCCCAGUCGCCGCGUCAGAUCGUCGAUCGAUUUUGAGGCAGCGCGCACGCCUCCUUCUAGCCGCGCGUUUCCUCUUCUUCCAGCAACGUGUUUUUUCUUCUAACCGCGAUUCACAAACCGACGUACACUCUAAUCUGUUUGCACGAUGGUUUUUGUUUAGAAUCGAUUGCCGCUGCCCCUAUUUUUACUGAGAUCCGUCGAAGUAUUGUUGGUAAGAUUGAAGUUAUGAAAUUGUAGUCGUUUUCAAAACAAUUUAAGUAUGGGUUGUGAUGUUUUCAAGGUGUUCAAACGUUACGGAUGGGUUAAUUGACUAAUUUGAUAAAUUAUUCUUGAAGGUGUGAAAGGUAACCUUGGAUCACUUAAAUUCACAACCAAUUUGUGAAUUUUGAUUUCGAUUUCGUUUGCCCUUAUUUGGAUUGUUUCGUGGACGAUAGUUGAUUAAGGGAGCUUCCCUAACUUUGAGGUAAGGGACUUUCUACUGGACUCACCUAAAGUUUUUGAGUUGUGUUGGACUGUAUGGAUGAUGAUUAAGAUGUACACGUUUGGUUGCAGACUAAAUGUUUAGUGUAUGUUGUAUUUGACUGGAAACAUAUAUAUAAAUACAUUGAUGUGUGAAUUGAUGUGGAUUGCCGAAAGUAUACAUGUGAAUGACUGAAAUUAUGCUUAUGUGUACAUGAUGAUAUUAAUAGAUUGUGCUGUAUAAAGAUUUGGAUGUGAACUAGUGAAUUUGUUUCGGUUGAAUGUGGAUUAUACUGAACUGUGGUUUGCGCUGGUAAAAAUGAGGGGUGUUGUGACUUUGUUGUUUACUUGACAGAUGUAUUAAAAUGUUAUCAACGACCUUCGAACUUAAGUGAGAUAGGUUGACUGUUAGAAUGUUGAGUGAAAGAACUUUAUAUUUUGAAGUAACUGAAAGAUGUCAUAAAUUACCGUAAAGAUGGUUAGAAUGGAUUGAGGGGAAAAAUUGUUAGUUUUAUUGGGAUGUAUGCCUUGUAGGUGUCCUACGGGAUCACCAAUUUUUAUGCGACCUUCGGAGCAUUAGACUGAUAUGUGUUUCUGCAGAACACUAGACUGAAAUGUACGUCCCUCGGGGCGUUAGACUGAAAUGUGCAUCCUACGGGAUCACAAGACUGCGACUGUACAGGGUGUCCCAAUAGAAUGUUAACAAUUUAUUUUCCCCUGACGGGACCAGUAGAGGGUCUCUUACUGGGUAUUUUUAUACUCACCCUCCUUAUGUUUAAUUUUUCAGGCAAAGGUAAUAAAGGCAGCAAACCGGCGAGGGGCAGGAAGGAAGCGUGACCGCCACAGGGGACACUUUAAAAUUUUGCUUCCGCUUAGUGAUUUAUAGUAUUAUUUGUAUUCGAACGUGAGACUGUUUAGAAAAUUUUGAAGUUUUAAAGUAUUCAAAGAUUUGAAACUUUUUAGUUUUAAAUUUUCAUGUGAAUUUUAGUAAUUUAAAACUGGGGCCCAAACAAACAAAAUAAAUUUUGUUCUUUUGAGGUUUUAAAUUUUAAUUAACCAAGGUCUUUUGUCAAAAGUUAAUGACCUCGACUUAGGUAAAAAGUUGGGUCGUUACAGAUAAGAAGCGAAAAAGUCUUUGCGUAAGUUAAGAAAUGAAAGUUUUGAGUGUUAGACUAGGAGUUUUGGGUGGUCUUCGCGAGAAGAACCAAGUGUUUCGUGGAGAAGAAGUCUACGAGGAAGCCUUGGAGUUUAAGUUCGUGAUAAGAGUUUUAUGCGAGUAAAAGUUGGUUAGUUCAGGUGGAACGUUUCUUAUAAUAAAAAUAUAAUCAAGCGAUAAGGUUAUUCACGAGAAAUGUUAAGUGGUUGAAUUUAUUCACGGUUUGGGUUAGGCGGGGAGCAAGGUUUGUAAAGAAAAUGUCAAAUCUGAUUUGACAUGGGUUAACAUGUAAGAUUAAGGAUUUGAGCAUGACUAGGUUAAAUAUUAAGGAUUUGCAUGACUAAGUUAGUAUAAGGGAUCUAUAAAAUAGGAGAAUUUAGGUAACUAAGGAGGGGAUGACGAGAGUUUUGUUGAAAUGUUAAAGUGUUGUUGGUUUAGCCACGCGAAAAGAUGGUUGUGAGAAGGACUUCUUUAGUGAAGUUUGGUGAGUGCUUUUCAGUCAAAAGAAUUUAUGUUAAGAAACUUUAUUACGAUUUCUCUUUACUGAUUUGAAAGAAGAAUUCAGAUGAGAAUGUUUCAGAAAGAUUUCUACGAAAAGUUAUGUUUUCAAGCAUUAUUUAUAAUAUUAAAGCUUGAUUUGAUGACUAUGAUUUCAAUACUAUGUUUCUUUGAGAUGAUGCUAACUUUUGUGUGCACAUAAAGAGUGAAGGCCACCAUGGAGUGUACAAACUACAUGGUAAUAAGAAGCUGACUUAUGCAUUGAAAUGAGCGUAUAAAGCUUAGCGGUAUAGCAACAAAGACGAAUUUGUAUGUUCUCAGAUGUUGAUACAGUAGUCUAAACGCGAGGUAAUGAGACCAAGCGUAGAGAACGAUUCGGGAUCCUUGACAAAAUGAAAUGAUUUUUUAAGCAUAAAGAAAGGUUUAUUCGAAAUGAAAUAAUUUUUCGGUAUAUUUAAAUGAUUUGAUAUUAUUUUUACAAAAUGAUUAUGAAAAGGUAUUGUGAAAGGUUUUCAUAAAACCUUAAAGGAUUUAAAAAAAAAGUGGACCAUUCAACUUAAUUCCCAUCCACUAUCCUCUUGUCCAACAUGAAACUUUAUCUUAGUAAAACUUCUUGAUCCACUAUUUUACAAAAAUAUUCAAAACAAUACCAUACUACACCAAAUGUGAUAUUUUGGUAACACUUAAAAUGGUCAGAAAUACCAUUUUCCUGACUUUUUUUUCAUCGACCAUUAAAGAAAAAGUAUAGAUGAUGUUUCACAAAAACUUCCAAACCAUUGUGUUAGUUAUCGUUUUGGAUGAGGGUUGGGGUAGAGCAUCAAUACUCAAAGGUUGUUAAGAAUUAAGACCUAAGACUUGAAAACGAAACCGCCUGCCUGGUUGACAACAACACCAUCCCACUAGAGUGCACAAUGAUGAUUUAUUGCAUUAAGAAGAAGAUGGCAGUUAACCUUAGCGCCAUAAUCAGAACCUCAAUCCUCCCUUUGAUGAAAGCACCUAAAGGUGUCAUGCCUUUCCCCUCUACCACAUUGAAGCUCUUUGUCUAACACUACAAGAAAUGAGGACUCUCUCGAUGCAUAAAAUCAUUGGGAGAUAUAUAAAAAGCGUCAGAAAAGGCUUUUCUGACGCACUAAUAUACGUCGGAACACAAGUGAGGAAAAUGUAUCGGGAGAGGAACUCCGAUGCACAAUGUUGUGCGUUGAGGGUUUCUAGACAUCUUCCGACGUUGUAUGAACGUCGAAGAUGUUGUCAAUAUAGCAUCGAGAGAUGUCUAGGAACCAUGCGUCGGGAGAUCCUCUAUUUUUUUUUAAAAAAAAUAACUUCAUUUAAUUCCUAAAUUCAAAUUGAAAAUUUUAAAUUCAAACUCAACUUCAACACUUCAACCUCAACUUCAACACUUCAAUCUCAACUUCAACACUUCAAAUUCAAAUUUCUAAAACCUACAACUAAUUCAAAAUUCUAACAACACUUGAAAUUAAAUUUCAUUACUAAAACUUACAACUAAUUCAAAAUCUAAAUACUAAAGAAAUCUAAAAUCUAACACCUAAAACAAAUUUGAAAUCUAAAUACUAAAACUAAUUAACUAAAACAAAACAAUAACUAAACUAAACCACUUACCGAUGGCGACGACGACGGGACGACAACAGGGACGACAAUGGUGAUGACAAUGCCCUCUUCUUCUCAAUCUUCCUCUCGGUCUCCCUCUCCCUCUCUCAUUUUCUUUCUCUUUAUGUUUCCUUUAUGUAAAGAAUGGAGUUAAAAAAGACAGAGAACUCCUGACGCACGACGAAAACGUCGGGAAUAGCACCCUAUUCAUGACCUGAUUUGUUAAACGUCAGAAAUCCCUAAACAUAUUCCCACGCGAUUAAUGAUACGUCGGGAAUCCCUAAAUCUAUUCUCAACGUUGCUGCCACACGUAAGAGGAAGGCGUUACAUACAAUUAAUGAUCUGCCCUUCCUCCGACGGUUCCUAAGCUUUUAGCUUUUCUGCAAUCACCCCUUAUGCAUGUUCUCAGGCGAAUCUCAACCAAACCAUAACACUCCAUCAAAAUAAAGAAGAAGAGAGACACCUCAAAACCUUAAAUAAAGUUAAGGGAGAAGAAUGGAAUGACAGAGAAGAAGAAGAGGCUUCUCCGCUGCCACCACUACUCAAGAGGAGAAAUGUCCACGAUGACGCGUCUAACUCGUAUAAAAAGGAAAAAAGUCGAAAGCUAGACGUGGCCAUCGACCCUAAACCUCUUGCAAUCUGACCCCUAACUCUCUCAUUGCCUCCUCCAAAAUCCAAAUCCUUCAAUUCCAGUCCUCAUCCAAAAAUUGAAACUCCCCCUCAUCAAUCUUACCCAAGUCCUCUCGCAUGUCUAUUAUCCUCUCACCACCAAAUCCCCCAUCAUUAUAACAACAUCCUUCACCUCACGACCUGACCGAACAAGCCCUUACCCGAUCAAAAGGGCAUUGUUAGCGAAGAAGAAUUCCUUAGGGUUGAGGAGGAAGACCUGCAUCACAUUCCUCUCCCUCCGCACACUACUAUACGUAAUUCCAAGGAGGAAGACUUACAUCUCGCGUGUAAACACCGAUACCCAAUAAUCCUUAAUUCAUCUAAAGAACUCAAUAGGACAUUAGGGGUUGAUGUUAGGAGAAAGAUGGUUUAAGAUUGGAUAGUUUAGUUGAAGUGUUAUGGAAGAUGUGUUAAUAUUUUUAAGAUGAUAAAAGAAAAGUGUCAUCGUAACAAAGAAAGGCCUAAAGGGUGUUCGAAAAUUGGCUAAGUGUUGGCUAGGGCAUGUUGCAUACUCUAGGCGGCCAAAAGUGUCAAGCGAACCUCUAAAGAGACAUGUUGGGUGGCCAAAGGUUGAGAUGUGGUAUGGCCGAAAGGUGUCAAGACAACCUCUAUAAGACAAGGCUAUAUGACCAAGGGUAUGCGCUAGGCAAGGAAGCUAAGCAUCUAGGAAAUGUCAAGAAACUCUAAAGAAGUUAGAACGUGGAUAAGGAAUGUCAUGCAACAAAGAGGUGGGCUAUGUGGACAUAGGUCAUGCGGCCAAUGGGGCAAUUCAACCAAAUGCUAGUCAAGAUGGCAUGGUUUGUUGAAGGCAUUGAGGGAUGUUUGGGAGAUUAGGCGAGAAAAAAAAGUCUUAGGCAUUCUUGGCAGUAAGAAUUUACUAAAGAACCCUCAUAGAAAAAGGGAUAUGCGUCCAAGGAUGACUUAAGCAAUAUGAGGUAAGAUGUGCGGUAGAGUACAAGUGGACAACAUACAAGAUACCUAAGUUUUGCCAAAUAAGUGUCUUGCAUGAGUUGGAAAGUGGCAAGUAUGGGCGUAAGAGGUGAGAAAAAAAGGUUCAACCAAAGAGCAUGCAAGGAUCACUAUAUGUACAACUUUGGACGAAUUAUGUUAACAAUCAACUUGUGUUAAUUGGGUAACUCUACUUCGAAAAUCUCCUAAAUUGAGUGUAGUAUCAAGAGAAAGGCUACCAAGAAGAAAGGCAUUGAAGUGAAGAAAGACUCAAAGGUCAUUUUCAAAAAAAAAAAAAAAAAAACUUGAACAAUGUAGAGUAUUUUGAGCUACAUAACUCAAUACUUGGAAUUUGUUAGUGACACUUUGUGGUAAGCUAGUGAAGACAUUCUAAGUAAGUUUGUAGAAGGAAUCUUAUUGAUUUAAGCUUCAAAGUCGAGUUAAGUUUCUGGUAGAAAAAUCAUAUUUCUAGACAAGGCCAUGGGUGGGUUGAUUGCCAGGAUGACAAGGUGAGAUGAGCGUGUGUUUUGAGCGAAAGAGGUUAUUUAGGCUUGGGACAUGCAAGAAGCAUGUCCUGGCAUGAUCAAGCAGCCUGAGCCACGCGUCAUUACACACUCUAUUAUGAAAGUUGAGUAUAUUGCUACUUGUGAAGCAGCAAAAGAAGCAGUUUUGGUGAGGAAGUUCUUGCAUAAUUUGGAAGUUGUUCCAAACAUGAACAUGCCCCAUCACUUUAUAUUGUGAUAAUAGUGGGGCAUAUUACUAAUCCAUUUACAAAGACUCUCAUGGCUAAAGUGUUCGAGGGUCUUCUAGAAAGUCUAGAUCUGCGAGUUAUGUACAUUAGGUAAUCUAGGAAAAGUGGCAGAUGUGUAAUGGGUAUGAGGAUGCCCUAGUUUAUUGUAUUUGUAUAUACACAUUUUAUGUAAUACACUUGUACAUUUUACCAUUUUCAAUGUUAGAGGAUUACUUUAUUAUGAACAUCCCAAAGAGACGAGAGUUUUAGUCCAAGUGGGAGUUUGUUGGAAUUUAUGUCCUAAAACUCGUAGAUUGUAAAUAUAAUCCAUUGACCAUUGUUAAUAAAGUGUUAUUAUUGUAAUAAUUGUUAUUGAUUAUAUUAUUAGUUUUGUCUUAAUAACUCAAAUCCAAUAAACUAACAUCCUAAACUGUUUAAUAAGUAUUGAAUAGUAUGUAGAGACAUACAGGGAUCAAUGUUCGAGAUCAGCUUAAAGGGUCUAUAGUAUACGGAUAAGACUGGGUACCUUUAUCCUGGUAACAUUAUGAAUACGACUCACUUUGUAUUUGAUACAAAUACAAUGAUCCAAUGUGUUCAUGUAGUUGACAUGCGAGUGAAGGUAUCCUAUGCAAUGAGAUUGCAAUAGACUAGACUGUGAAAUAGUAACCACUUGGUGUUACUACAUUAACUAGUUAGGUUUCUAUUUCACUAGGAUGACCUAGAUAACUUAGUCUUAAUCUUGAGUGUAUUAUGAACUCAAUGAUCUUGGAUGAAUUUGACUUCAAAUACAAACUUGGAUUCCACAACCUAAACCAAAAUAAAAUAAUAUAUCAUGUUAAGAUGGAUUCACAUAGCAACAUUUUAUCAAAUGGUUGCAAUGUUUCAAAUAAGCAACAAUUAAAAUUCACAUAUCGAUUUGGCAUCUAUAAAUAUACAAACUAAAAAGUACCUAAAUGUCAAUUAUUUACCCAAUAAGGCUAACUAAGUAACCAACGUCUAAUAUGUUUUGCAAUGAAAAAGGUUGCCAUAUUGUUAAUUUGGCCAUAUUGUGAAGGCAACCUCUUAGAUGUGUUUGUGAGAAAGGAAAGAAAUACCAAAAUAAGUAUGGACUAAGAUAGUAUCAAAUAAAGUUAAAGUUGAAUUUUAAAGCUCUAUUUUUUUCAAGAUAGAGAAAUUUCAGCUAAAGAGGAAAACACUAAGGACAACCAAGCAAAAAAGUCUAACAAAUAUCAAAAGAGAACAUGCAGGAAAGAAAGAAUGUAAAUAAGGUUUUAUCCGCACCAAGCAAAAAAGUCUAACAAGUAUCAAAAGCUUCAUAAGUUGUACUAGAAUUCAAAGCUCUAAACUCUAAAGAAUGUAAAUUUCUUUGAAGAAAUUUGUGUAUAAAGGUCACACAGUUGAAAAUUCAAUACCUUUUCAAGAAUGUUGUUGAGAAGAUUAUUGUGAUGAAUCUUUGAAUCCAAAUUAUGGAGACAAGAUAAAUAAAUGAGUUCUGAUUCUAACUGACUGAAUGAGAGUUUAGAAAAUAAGAACAUUGGAGUUGAAUUAUCAGCAUUUAUUUUAAUCAAACUUACGAUAGCAAACCAAAUUAUAGAGAGAGAUCAAAUGCUAGGAUAAAGGAAUAAUCUUACAUUUGGUGAGUUCCCAAAUGUUGUGGUAGUCACGAGAGUUAUUCCACUCGAAUUGUCUUAGACAAGAGGCUUCCAUUCAGCAAGUACUGGUGAGAAUUAAAGUGGAAUGACAAACUUAAAAACACCUAAUCUUUAACAAACUUUUCCGACUUUUUGCAAUUAUUUUUUAACACAAGAUAUCAAAACACACUUAAAAACCAUAACAACCAAUUACCAUAAAACGGUGUCCAAUAACAAUAAUUGGGUCAACCCAAACAUCAUCAAAUUCUUGGGAAAGGUUGUGGACUAGACCUUCACCAUCUUGCCCCUAAAACAAGUUAAAGCUUAAGGAAAGAACACAGUAGAAACAAAAAUCAUAAACUCAUCAGUUAGAUAGUAUUGGUGGUCAAAACCUCAAGGUCUCACUUCUUCCAUUUUAUAUUACCAAAUUUGAAAAUGAUUUUUAAUAUAUGAUCAUUACUUGAAACAUGUUGGUGUACAAGUGUGAAUGAAACUAAAUCAAGUUUGUGUUUUAUGUUAUUGUUUUUGACAGUAUAUUUAUGUGCUAUGCAAUCCAUGAGAGUAUAUUUAUGUGCUAUGCAAUCCAGAAGGGGGAAUGCAAGCUAUACCCAAUUCAUAAUUGUAUUUGGAACACUAAUGAUUUUAGCACAAAUUCCAUCUUUCCAUUCUCUAAGACAUAUAAACCUUAUCUCCCUCACUCUAUACCUUGGCUAUAGUGCUCUUGCAACAUAUUAAAAUUCUCGUAAUUAAAAAUUCAUACACAAUUUAAAUUAAAUUAAACAUCAAGACCCCUGACGAAGAUGAAUCUCUGUUCAUUUUUCUUUUUAUUAACAAACAAAAGUUUUUAGGUCAACUUCUUUCAACAACCUCCUCAAGGAUCCUUAAUUAUCUCUUUCCAAGUUCAUAACCACUCUAGUCAUGCAAAGAUUAAGGUUCAUGGCCAAUCAACAAUUAAUCUGUGAUUAAGAUAUUAUGAACGCUAUUCACAUAAAAACAUGAAAAGAUUAAGAGCAAAUAAUCAGAUGCAUUACAAAGAAUAAUUCAUAAACUUUGUCUACAUCUAUCCCUAGGAUUAAGAGUUUAGCUACCCCAUACUUCACAAUCUAAAACACAAAACUCAAUACAAUACCCAUAAAAAAAAUUAAAGGAGAAGAAAAAGAAAACGAAGAAGAAAAGCUAGUGAUUCGUAUUAUUAUAAUACUGUGUAUAACAGUAUGUGUUUUUUAAUAUUCUCUGUUUCCAGCUCCAAUGUACCAAAAUAUUAUCACAAACUCCACAAUCCUUCUCUUUCCAAUCCCUAAACUAACCAAUGAAUCAUAUUCGCACGCUUGGUAGCCUUGUUCAAAAUAUUAUAUAUUACAAUUAUAAUAACUUGUAUCCCCCCUUUUCAAGCCUAAAAUGCAAAACCUUUCUUCCAUUCUCUAAGGCAUAUUUCCUCUUCUUUAAUUUUGCAUUCCAAUUUUAAAUUACAAAUUACAAAUUUUAAUCACAAAGGAAAAAAGGAAAAUUAUUACCUUUAGAAAGGGAAGAAAAUAAAUGAGUAACCAUGAAGGAUUUGGAAACGAAUAGAGGUUUAGCGAAAGUGGAAUGCGACAGAAGGACGGUGAAUGUGUUUACUCGUUUUCGAACAGAGAAUGUGUUUACGCAUUCCGAACGGUGAACAGACGGACGCAAAUCAACGAAGGUGAAGGGAACGCAAAGCAGACGGACGGUGACGGACGAUGAACGCAAAUGAAUGAAGGUGAAUGCUUAUGAACGCGAAGGGAAGUCUUUUCCGGCGAUGAACGCAGAUGAAUGCACAGAUGAACGCGAAGGGAAGGUUAGGUGAACGACGCUUUUGAUUUCGGGUGGAGAAGGGACAAAGUCGCGGCGAAUUAGGUUUAAUUAAGAAAAGGGGAAGUGAUCUAAUUGAAACGUUGGGUUUUGUAAAAGAAUAUUAACACAAUAAUUUUUUAGAAAUUUCUUGACGUUUUUAAAACGUCAAAAACAAAUUAAAAUUUCUUGAACUUUUUAAAACAUCAAUGAUUUUUUAGAAUUAUCUUGACGUUUUAAAAACGUCAAGAAUUUUUUAUAAAUUUCUUGACGUUUUUAAAAAUGUCAAGAACUUUUUAGAAUUAUCUCGACAUUUUAAAAACGUUAAGAAUUUUUAUAAAUUUCUUGAUGUUUUUAAAACGUCGAGGAAAACUAUAUAUUAUUGACGUUUAAAAAACAUCAAGAAAGUUGAAUUCAUAAACAUUCUUGACGUUUUUUAAACGUCAAAAAUUAUUAGAUAUUUCUUGAUGUUUAAAAAACGUCAAGAAAAAGUACAUCUUACUUGACGUUUAAUUGCAUAAAAAACGUCAAGAAAAAACGUCAAGAAAGUUGAAAAUUGGCCUUUCAUAAAAAUUCUUGACGCUUUUUUAUUUGAAAUCACAUCUUUCUUGACGUUUUUGGGAAAAAACGUCAAGAAAGGAAAACUACAACCGUCAAGAGAGCCUGUUUUUGUAGUAGUGAUUUUGGGGACAAGACUGAGUGGGGAGUUGGGAUUAUAAUUGCACAAAAUGGAAUUCACUCAUUUCCUACUGUAGGAUAAGUAGAUGAAUGUUAGCUUAAAUGGUGUCUCCAAAACUUAAACAAAGGGCCCGUACUCUCUCUAUGACAUGAGAGGGGUUUUUGUUUAUUAGUAGGACCAUAAACAAGUUGUUCAUUAGAGGAGCACUAGUUUUUAAGGAUUAGAGGUAACAUAGGGGUAAAGCGGUAAAUUGAUCCAACUGGUGUUACAAACACUCGUGAAGGACUAACUUACUAUUAUUGGUCUAUAUCCGUGGACACAGAAAUAUAUUUUUAGUGAGAAGAGUUCAGUUGUGAGUCUUUAGUGGAGUGUACACACAACUAACGAAUAUUGAUUAAUGUGGUUAAUGAGUUUAGCCAAUUAAUCUUAGAUCGUUGUAGCUUCUGAUCUGUAGGUCCACUAGGUCCCUUUCCUAGCUCGUAAAGGGUAAUGAGAUUUAUUUGUAUUAGUUGUAAUUUAAAAUGUUUAAAUUUAACUUGGGAAUUAGUAUAAUGUAUAGUGAUACAUUAUAAUAUAAAGUUUAUCAAACUUUACUAUAUAAAUUUAACUUUGGGGAUGAUUUAAAAUUAAUUUAUGAGAGAUAAAAUAUUUGAAUGAGUUCAAAUAUUAAUUUAAUGUAAAUUGGAUUCAUAUUAAAAUUAUUGAGAGAAACUUAUAUUUGAAUAUGAUUCAAAAUUAAUUUAAGUUAAAUAUAAGAUAAAUAAUUUAAUGUUAUUAGUUAAUUGGAGAAUUAAUUAAUAGUUUAGUUUAAUAUUAUUUAAUUAAAUGUGAUUUCAUUAAUUAUUAACUAAUUGAUUAAUGUUUAAUUAAUCAGUAGAUUUGAAAUAUAUAUUAAUUUAAUUGUUUGUAAAUUAAUAGAAUCUCAUAGUUCUCUUCUACUUCAUUUUUUAUUCCUAGAAGGAAAGAGAGUUAUAAUAUCUAGAAGAAAACAAUUUUCUUAAAAAAUGAAUAUAAUAAAAAAAGAAAAAAUAAGGCUAACGCUAUUGCUCUUUGCAAAAAGAAAAGAGUUUCUCUCAAUAUCUCUAAACUUUUUCCCAUCCCAAUUGGUUCCACAAACCAAUCUUAUCACAGAGGUACUCUUUGCAAUUUAAGCUCUCUUUGCAAUGGACAGUCUUCAAAGUUUUUUUAACGAUGUUUCUAAUGCUUUCCUUUCUCUCUCAUGUUUAAUAAAACAAAUUUCUCUUAAAACCUGUAGGGAGGCUACAUCGUAUCGAAUUUCAUACAACUGACGUGUUCAUCGAGUUACAACAAGUGCCGCACAAUAGUCUGUUCCAUGUUUGAAAAGUUGUGAGUGUGACACGCUGCACAUGAGGUUAGAACGAGACAUGGCAAGGCAAGCUCUACGCGCACCUGCCAACUUCUGCCACAAUAUUUUGUACGCAAGCUAAUGUCUUUGGGCUGUUUUUAUGGUAUUUGGAAAUUUUAAGCAAAGUUUUGAUAUUUUUAUGAUCAACAGGAAUUAAAUGGAAUUAUUUCCCAUUAUUUUCAUUAUUUUAGAUCAGAAGGAGAUCGAACAAAUUUAUAAGCCAAGGGUCCAAGCUACUCUCUAUAAGUGACAAAAAUGAGUUUAAAGUUGAUUUCUAAACAUGAAUUUACUAUCAAAUGUUUCAAGCAUGCUUUGAUGUUUGAAUAUUUGAGGAUACUGACUUAUAAAGUAUUUCCAAAGCAUGAAUUUAGAAACAUUUUGGUAAUGAAAAUUAUAAGCAAUCAUGAUUGUGCUAAGUUAUCAAAAUGUUUAAGCUUGAAAAUAAUAUUAGCAUGUUUUAGUCUAUACCUAAAAUAUUCUAAGAUAUAUAGCAACCCUUCGGGAGAGAUUUUCUUGUGCAUAGAGGUCAUUUGAUUUGGAUAUUCAGUAAAUACCUAGCUUUCCAUCAUUGGUAUUAGAUAAGAGAUGAAGACUUCUAAAGAUGCUUAGUUUCCCAUCUCAAGGGACGAGACCCUGUACGAAUGCCUAGUUUCCAUCUCAUUGUAGUUAUAACGAGAUAGGGCACAAUUGAUGCCUAGAGUUUCAUCUCGUAAGUAUCGUAUCACGGGAUAGGGCUUCUAUGCCUAGUUUAUUGUUUUUCGUCUUGACGAUUCUAGUAUAGCAACUGAAAGGGAAAGUUUGAGAUAAGUUGUUUGAGUUUGAUUUCAUUUAUGUUAAGAGUUAAUUGUUAAAUACUUAUUAUUUCAAACAAUGUUUUAUAAAACAAUCACUCAUUGGGCUAUUUAGCUCACUCUUUGGAUAAAUAUCCCCAUAUGGAUUACGUUGUUUGGAAAAUUAAACUGUCUUUAGUACUUCAAAGAAAACUUCCCUCCCAUGUCCUCUCACCUCAUGUCAUCCCAUUUGUGUUGAUAACAUGAAAAAUAUUUAGCACCUUUUAAUUGAUUAUGUCUUUGUAUCGAAAUGUUGGUUCCGUCUUCUCCAAACAUUCAAUAUUUGUUGGGAUUUUUUGCUCAAUCAAGGCUUAUUCUUGUUUGUUCUCGACCUGCUACCUAUGAUUUAUGAUUUUGUUUUGGACAUAUUAUUUUAUCAUUUUGUUUGGUUUUAUAUUUGUGGCUUUUUUUUUGUUUUGUUUUGUGUUUUGUUUUUUUUUUUUUUUGAAAAGGAGACAACCUCUUUAUUAAUAUUAAAAUAAUAAAAUAAUUAGACAAAAGCUCAUGGUACAAGAGAGUUAUACAAUGAACAUGUAACCAUGGAUCAGAGGGUGCACCUUGGCAUCUCAACUAGGUUGACACCCCCAUAGCACCCUCAUCAUAUCCAACCAAGCUAAAACCCAUAACAAAGGAGUAAUGUCCAAAGGCAAAACAAACACAAAAAAAGCCUUCUAUUUGUGGCUUUUGUUUUGAUCUUGUGUUGUCGCUUUUUGGAUGUGAUGAGGGCGCUAAGGGGGUGUCAACACUCAAACCUUAUGACGUAACAAAUGCAAAUUUUAUGACGUUUUUAGGGGUAGUCCCUCCCAUUACUAGCUCAACACUCAAACGGAGUCUCCUGUAUAAAAUAUAAAAUAAUACAGACACAAAUAGUGAAUGAAAUCUUAUGACGUAACAAAUGCAAAUUUUAUGUAUACUGCAAUUGACUAAAUAUUGAACAAGAAAGCCCAAGGGAAUACAAAAAAAUCCAACGUUUUUAGGGGUCAAUUUGAAAAAUGGCAAAAUUACUUUUUCUUUUCAAUUUUAGCAAACAACAUUUUUUGCACGUGCAUGGUAUUUUAUAAAAUACCAGAAUAUCAACAUUCUUCAACUGUAGUUAUUUCGUUUCUACAUUGUAAUUAAUUUAUGUUAUGCAUUUAUCAGUUUUUAAUUAUCUUUUACUUGAAAUAGAUACAUCAACUCAUAUCAUAAUAUUUUUCUUAAUAUCUCGAGUCUCAACUAAUUAAUUCACAUAUUAAUAACUUUAUUCAAUCAUACUAAUUUCAAAAUAACCUAAUUGAAUUUGAAUUUCAAAAUAACAAAAUUAUUAUUUUUCGGAAUUUGAGAGUCUCAACGAUAGAUUUUGUAUUAAAAUAACCUUAAUUGAAUUUCAAAAAUAAAAAAUAUCAACAUGUUCACUAUCUUUAUCUCAAAAUAACAUUAAUGCCUUGAAUAUCAAGAUAAUUAAAUUAUUAUUUAAAAUUGGAAGAAACUCAACAUUAAAAAAUAUUAACUUGUUCGCACACAAGCAUAGAAGCACUGCGCACACACGUACACAUGCACACUUACACACACGCGCACACACGCACAUCUACACACAGACACCCACAGACACACGAACGCAUGCACAUACACAUGCACACGCGCACGCAUGCACAUACACAUGCACACGAGCACGCAUGCACACGCACACACCUAUCCACACGCGCGCACAAGCACACACACAUGCACAAACGCACACACGCGUACGCACAAACGCACACACUUAUACACAUACGCACACGCGCACAAACACGCACGCACGAGCACACACACACCUAAGCACACACGCAAUAGCCUGCGCACACACACGCACGCACAAACACAUACAAACAUGCACACACCCACACAUAUAUGCACACGGACACUCGCAACAAACGCACGCACAUACACAUACGCACACCUACCUACACGCACACACGUACACACGCACAUAUGCAUAAAGAUGUAUAAAUGAGUUAAAAUUAAAAAAAAACUACAUUAAUUGUGUUUAGAAGGACUUUUAAACCAUGUUCAUUUGACUUAAUAACAUUAAUUAAACUAUAAUUUCUAUCAAUAUUGGCUUAAAAAGUGUCAUUCGUGUAAUUAUUUCAAUAUAAUGCGAUUUUAUCCAAUUCUAUUUGCAACAAACAGGUCGAAUAUGAACCAGUAGAUAUACAUGUCAUAAGAGAUAUAGGAACAUUUUUAUGGUCAUUUUGAAAAAUGCAAAACUUUUUGUAACGACCCAACUUUUCUAGGUAAGUCGAGGUCAUUAAUUUUUAAUAAAAGACUUUGUUGAUACAAAAUGAAGCGUAAGUCAAUUUAAAAAAAAAUAUGUCAGGCCUGAUUUUCAAAUAUCAAGAAAACUUAAAAAUAACACUAUUUACAAAUAAAAGUUUGUAAACUAAGUUUUUAGUACAUCUUAAACCUUAAAAGAAACAUAAGCGGAAGCAAAAUACACAUUUCCUAUGGCAAUCACGCUUCCUUCCUGCCCCUCGCCGGUUUGCCACCUUUAUUUCCUUUGCCUGAAAAUUAAACAUAAGAAGGGUGAGUAUUUUAAAUACUCAGUAAGAGACCCUAUACUGGUCUCGUCAGGGAAAAUAAAUUGUUAAAGUUCUAUUGGGACACCCUGUACAGUCGCAGUCUUGUGAUCCCGUAGGAUACACAUUCAGUCUAACGCCCCGAAGGACGUACAUAUCAGUCUGACGCCCCGAGGGACGUACAUAUCAGUCUAACGCCCCGAGGGACGUACAUAUCAGUCUAACGCCCCGAGGGACGUACAUAUCAGUCAAGUGUUCUGCAGAAACACAUAUCAGUCAAAUACUCCCGAAGGUGCAAAAUAAAUUGGUGAUCCCGUGGGACACCUACAAGGUAAACAUCCCAAUACAACCUAACAAUUUAUCCCCUCAUUCCAUUCAACCCAUCUUUCAGUUACUUCAAAUCACAAAGUCCUUUCUUUCAACAUCCUAACAGUCAACUUAUUUUACUACAGUCAUAUGUCUGUCAAUAAUAUGCUAAUACAUCAGUCAAUCACUAUACAGUCAAGUCAAUACACCCCUCAGUUCACCAGCACAAACCACAGUUCAGUAUAAUCCACAUCCAACUGAAACAAAUUCACUAGUUCACAUCCAAUCUUUAUACAGCACAAUCUAUUAAUAUCAUCAUGUACACAGAAGCAUAAUUUCAGUCAUUCACAUGUAUACUUUCGGCAAUCCACAUCAAUUCACACAUCAAUGUAUAUAUAUAUGUUUCCAGUCAAAUACAACAUACACUAAACAUUUAGUCUGCAAUCAAACAUGUACAUCUUAAUCAUCAUCCAUACAGUCCAACACAACUCAAAAACUUUAGGUAAGUCCAGUAGAAAAUCCCUUACCUCACUUUUAUGCAAGUUCUUCAAUCUACUAAAUCCAAUGAAUCAAAUCCUAAACAUAAUCAAUCAUAAAAUCAACAUCUUUCUAAAUAGUUUCAACCAUUCAAAUUACCCCAUAUGUAAAUUCCACAACUUACCCAAGAAGUGGAAAAUCAAGUCCACUUCAACCUUUUGGAAAAUCAAGGAUUCGCUCACUGAAUCAAGAUGUACCUUCAAGAAUUAAGCAUUUCGCCAACAAUUAAAUCCAAUGGCAGCAUCCAACAAAAACCAAGAAACCAACAAAAACCAUAACUUGUUCUUACCCAAAUAUGAGCCCAAUGGUUCACGGCGAGGCAGAUCUGGACGACGAUUUGCUUUGCGAGGGAGGCACGACGGUUGUGAGCGAGAGGCACGACGGUUACAGGCGGAUGGGCGCGACGGUUUAGAUCUGAAGAAGAAAAGAGAGGGUGGCGGUUGGGUUCGGCGAGCGGCGGCGGUUUUGCUUCGCGAACGGAGAUGGAGACGGCAAUUCGGCGCGCGGGACGACUGCAACGCAAAUCUGGACUGGCAGCGGCACGGUCUUGCUUCGCGGCUGGGUAUGGUGAAAAAGAAAGAGAAACGGAAGAAGAGAAGUCUCGGGUGGCGGUUGCUGGGCUACGGCGGUUGCUGGGCUGCGGCGGAAGGAGAAAAUGGAAGGAAGAGAUCGGCGGAAAGAAGGAGAAGAUGGAUGGGAGUCACGAUCGCACGGGAAGAAGAAGGGAGAAAAGAAAAGAAAAGAAAAGAAGAAAAGAAAAAUAAUAAAGAAAUUUUUAAUAUAAAGUAAAAUAAAAAUAUAUAUAUAUAUAUAUAUAUAUAUAUUACCUUUUUGGGCAUUACAUUCUUCCCUCCUUAAGAAACUUUCGUCCUCGAAAGUUCUAAUCCUGAAAUAACUCUGGAUAACGAGUCCUCAUUUCUUCCUCUCGCUCCCAUGUCGCCUCUUCAAUUCGAUGAUUCCGCCACAAAACCUUUACUAAUGGAAUGCUUCUAUUACGAAGCAUCUUUACCUCUCUAGCCAAAAUCUCCACAGGUUGUUCAACAUAGCUCAAAUGCUCGUCAAUCUCCAAGGUUCAUAGUCCACUACAUGAGAUGUAUCGGCCACAUACUUCCUCAACAUCGAAACAUGGAAAACAUUAUGAACUGCAGAGAGAGAUGGUGGUAAUGCCAAGCGAUACGCCACAACACCAACCCUCUCUAAGAUCUCAAAUGGUCCAACAAAACGAGGACUUAACUUUCCCUUCUCAAAACGCAUAACACCCUUCAUAGGUGCUACCUUCAAGAAUACCUUUUCUCCCACAUCGAACUUAAGGUCUUUUCGCCGUACAUCUGCAUAACUCUUCUGUCUACUCUGCGCUGUUUGCAUACGCGUCCUAAUCGUUUGAAUAGCCUCAUUAGUAGACCGAACUAAUUCAGGUCCCAUCAAUCUAUGUUCACCAACCUCACUCCAACAAACAGGGGUUCUACAACAUUUGCCAUACAAAGCCUCAAAUGGUGCCAUACCGAUGGUAGCCUGGAAACUGUUGUUAUAAGCAAACUCCAUCAAAUGUAGAUGAGAGUCCCAACUACCUGGAAACUCUAUAACACAAGCUCGUAGCAUAUCCUCUAAAACUUGGUUCAAACGUUCAGUUUGACCAUCAGUCUGUGGAUGAAAGGCUGUACUGAAAUCCAAUCUCGUACCCAUAGCAGUCUGAAGUCCCUUCCAAAACUUGGAAGUAAACCGUGCAUCCCUAUCAGAAACAAUCGAUACAGGCACUCCAUGCAGUCUCACAAUCUCAGUUAAAUACAACUCUGCCCACUUACUAGCAGUAUAAGUGGAUUUUCCUGGUACAAAAUGUGCCGAUUUCGUAAGCCUGUCUAUGACAACCAGAAUCACUGUGAAACCCUUCAGGGUCUUAGGCAGCCCUGAAAUAAAAUCCAUCGACACAUUCUCCCACUUCCACUCUGGCACACUUAAGGUUGUAAUAAACCUGCUGGUUUCUGUCUAGGUGCCUUAACUUGCUGACAUACUAGACACUUACUAACAAAUUCCGCCACUUCCCUUUUCAUAUUCCGCCACCAAUAAAAUCGUUUUAGAUCCUGAUACAUUUUCGUGCUACCAGGAUGCAUGGAAAAUGGGGAAUUAUGGGCUUCAUCUAGUAAGUCAAUCUUAACUGUACUGUUCGCUGGCACACAUAAACGUCUCUCAAACAUCAACCCACCAUCAGAGGAUAUGGAGAACUCAUCAGUCUGCCCUGUUUCAACAAGGCGACGUCUCUCCAUCAAAUAAGGAUCAUUACUCUGAGCAUCAACAAUCUUGUGCCUCAGAGUCGGUUGCACCGUUAAUUGAGCUAGCUGUGAGGUGACUCUCCCCACAGACACUGCAAUCUCAGCUCUCUCCAAGUCUCGAUGCAAUGGUACCUGUCUAGUAAUGAGUGCUGCCGAAUGUGAUACUUUUCUACUAAGAGCAUCAGCCACCACAUUCGCCUUACCAGGAUGGUAUAAUAUCUCACAGUCAUAAUCUUUUACCAACUCGAGCCACCUUCGCUGUCUCAUAUUCAACUCCUUCUGAGUGAAGAAGUACUUUAGGCUCUUAUGGUCAGUAAAGAUUUGUAUCUUUUCACCGUACAAGUAAUGUCUCCAUAUCUUCAAUGCAAAAACCACUGCUGCCAACUCCAAAUCAUGUGUGGGGUAGUUCUGCUCGUGACUCUUCAACUGACGAGAGGCAUAAGCAACCACCUUACCUUUCUGCAUCAAAACACAACCCAGUCCUUUCUUGGAAGCAUCACUGUAAAUCACAAAACUUCCAGAUCCAUCUGGUACAGUAAGGACCGGUGCAGUAACUAACCUUUGCUUUAAGUUCUGAAAACUAUCCUCACAAGCUGGACUCCAAACAAACGGAGUUCCCUUCCUUGUCAACUGAGUCAAAGGAGUAGCCAAACGUGAAAAAUCCUCCACAAACCUCCGGUAAUACCCUGCUAAACCCAGAAAACUACGAACCUCACUAACUGUGAGGGUCGAGACCAACUGGUAACCGCUUCUAUCUUUGCAGGGUCUACUGAAACUCCCUCACUGGAAACCACAUGACCAAGAAAAGCCACCUGCUUCAACCAAAAUUCGCACUUAGAACUUAGCAUACAGUUUAUUGACUCGAAGAGUCUCUAACACCUUAUGUAAGUGUUCCUCAUGUUCGGCUUCAGUCUUGGAAUAAACCAAAAUAUCAUCAAUGAAGACUAUCACAAAAGUGUCCAAGAAAUCCUUAAACACCCUGUUCAUCAAAUCCAUAAAUACAGCAGGUGCAUUAGUCAAACCAAAAGACAUUACUAUGAAUUCAUAAUGUCCAUACCUCGAACGAAAAGCAGUCUUAGGAAUAUCACGGUCUCUAAUCCUCAACUGGUGAUAACCUGACCGUAAGUCAAUCUUAGAGAACACCGUGGCUCCCUGUAACUGAUCGAACAAAUCAUCGAUUCUGGGUAAAGGAUACCUGUUCUUGACUGUUACUUUAUUCAACUCUCUAUAGUCAAUGCAAAGACGCAUCGACCCAUCCUUCUUCUUCACAAACAAUACUGGUGCACCCCAAGGUGACACACUAGGUCGAAUAAAGCCUUUGUCAAGCAAUUCCUGUAACUGUACCUUCAGUUCUUUCAACUCAGCAGGAGCCAUCCUAUAAGGGGCUCUAGAAAUAGGAGUAGUGUUUGGCUCCAACUCAAUGGCAAAAUCAAUCUCUAUGUGGCGCAGUCCUGGAAGAUCUUUUGGAAAUACAUCUGGGUAUUCUCUUACCACAGGUUCUGAAGUUAAAGAAGUCUCACCUUCCCUAGUAUCCACCACACUUGCCAAAAUACUCCAAGUACCCUGGCUGAGUAGUUUACUAGCUUUCAUAGCUGAGAUUACUUUAGGCAGUACUACUGUUCCUACUCCCUUGAAUUUAAAGCUAGAUGCAGUAGGGGGACUAAACACAACUUCCUUACGAGAACAAUCAAUACUAGCAUGAUUAGUAGCUAGCCAAUCCAUACCUAAAAUUACAUCAAAGUCACGCAUAUCUAAUACCAACAAGGUUACGUCCAGCACACGACCAGCUAUCUCAAUUUCACAUGCUUUAAUCUUUUCCUUAGACAACAUAAUUUCUCCAGACGGUGUAGACACUGACAAAACAUAGUCUAAGGGUUCCACCUCUAAGCAUGCAUGCGUCACAAAAAGCGAUGAAAUAAAUGAAUGAGAAGAUCCCGAGUCAAACAAGGUCAAGGCAAAAUGCCCUAAUACUGGUAAUGUACCUGUCACUACUGUGCCGGCCUUCUCUGCCUCUGAUCUAUUAGUGGCAAAGAUUGUACCCCGCUGUGGAGGUCUCUCUCCCUGACUGCUCGAUCCAGCCCCAGUAGAUCUCAAGGGACACCUAUCAGCCAUGUGUCCCUCUUGCUUGCACUUAUAACAGACUCUCGUUCCCAUCAAACAACGACCCAGGUGGCGUUUCCCACACGUAUUACAUACUGGCCUCUCUUGAGUAGUGUCUCCUGCACCGCCAGAACUCUGCUGGAAACUGCGAAAAGAAUCACCUGGUCUCAUGUUCCUCUGAGGAACUCCUACAGUUCUCUGCUCUACUUUUCUCUUUUGACCGACGACGAUCCCUUAUUAAAGCUCCUUGGCUGUCUUUCAUCCUUCCCAAUACUCAUAUCCACUGCCAGACGCAGUGCUUCAGCUUGGGUAGUGGGCUUUAGUGCUCGCACAAAACCCCUAAUUUCAUCUCUCAAUCCCUUGACGAACCUAUCAGCUCUAGCCUGCUCAUUACUAACAAGCUCAGGGGCAAAACGUGACAGCAUAUCAAACUCCUGGUCGUACUCCUCGACUGUCAUAUAUCCUUGCUUCAACUCCAAGAAUUCCUGGCUUUUGGCGUCUCUAAGGUUAGCCGAGAAAAACUUGGUAUAGAAGCAGUUCUUAAACUGAUCCCAGGUAAUUUGCCUCACAUCUCCACCUAGCAUGCGCAUUGUAGUCCUCCACCAGAUAAUGCCUCUGUCCCUCAGUAGAAAAGCAGCACACUGAACUCUGUGCUCCUCGGACAUCUCAUGUAAUUAAAUAUGGUUUCCACAGAGGACAACCACAUUUCAGCUUUAGUAGGAUCCUCCAGUGACCCAUCAAACGUCUGAGGGUCAUACUUCCGAAAGUCCCUCAAAUGUUUCGCCUCAGCAGAAAGUUGGUUAGGUAAUUCUUGUGCAGGAGGGGCUGCUGGUGCAGGGGAACUACAGGUGCAGGUGGAACCAGGUGCCUGCUGGUUUUGAGCUAUAGCUGUCAUAAGUUCUGUAAACCUCUGCUCCAUGUGAGCAGACAGUGCAUCAAACUCAACGUGAGUCACGGGUGCAGCAGGAAUUCGCUGUUCAGCUUGACCCUCAGUAGGCUGAUUACGACCUGCUCCUCUACCUCGGCCUCCUGCUCUCUACGACCUCCUCUACGUACUUCUUCCCUUGGCGGCAUAAUUCCUAUUACCACCAACAACACUCUUUAACAAAAUCUUAAUCAUAAACAUAAGCAAGUCUUUAUCGUCAUGCAAUCUAGUUUAAUUUAGGCAAGGUCAUGCAAAUAAACCAUACAUAUAAGCAUCAAGCAUACCUGACGAGAGACGAAGGGUCGCGUUAGCCAUAGGAACACAAAAACAUAGACUUACAUCGUAAGUCAGUCUACAGAACCUAAAACUUAGGCUCUGAUACCAACUGUAACGACCCAACUUUUCUAGGUAAGUCGAGGUCAUUAAUUUUUAAUAAAAGACUUUAUUGAUACAAAAUGAAACGUAAGUCAAUUUAAAACAAUCUAUGUCAGGCCUGAUUUUCAAAUAUUCAAGAAAACUUAAAAAUAACACUAUUUACAAAUAAAAGUUUGUAAACUAAGUUUUAGUACAUCUUAAACCUUAAAAGAAACCAUAAGCGGAAGCAAAAUGACACAGUUCCUAUGGAAUCACGCUUCCUUCCUCCCCCUCGCCGGUUUGCCACCUUUAUUUCCUUUGCCUGAAAAUUAAACAUAAGAAGGGUGAGUAUAACAAUACUCAGUAAGAGACCCUUACUGUCUCCGUCAGGGAAAAAUAAUUGUUAAAGUUCUAUUGGGACACCCUGUACAGUCGCAGUCUUGUGAUCGCGUAGGAUACACAUUUCAGUCUAACGCCCCGAAGGACGUACAUAUCAGUCUAACGCCCCGAGGGACGUACAUAUCAGUCUAACGCCCCGAGGACGUACAUAUCAGUCUAACGCCCGAGGGACGUUCAUAUCAGUCUAGUGUUCUGCAGAAACACAUAUCAGUCAAAUGCUCCCGAAGGUGCAAAAUAAAUUGGUGAUCCUGGGACACCUACAAGGUAAACAUCCCAAUACACAACCUAACAAUUUAUCCCUCAUUCCAUUCAACCCAUCUUUCAGUUACUUCAAAUCACAAAGUCCUUUCUUCAACAUCCUAACAGUCAACUUAUUUUACUACAAUCAUAUGUCUGUCAAUAAUAUGCUAAUACAUCAGUCAAUUCACUAUACAGUCAAGUCAAUACACCCCUCAGUUCACCAGCACAAACCACAGUUCAGUAUAAUCCACAUCCACACCGAACAAAUUCACUAGUUCACAUCCAAUCUUUAUACAGCACAAUCUAUUAAUAUCAUCAUGUACACUAAGCAUAAUUUCAGUCAUUCACAUGUAUACUUUCGCAAUCCACAUCAAUUCACACAUCAAUGUAUAUAUAUAUGUUUCCAGUCAAAUACAACAUACACUAAACAUUUAGUCUGCAAUCAAACAUGUACAUCUUAAUCAUCAUCCAUACAGUCCAACACAACUCAAAAACUUUAGGUGAGUCCAGUAGAAAAUCCCUUACCUCACUUUUAUGCAGUUCUUCAAUCUACUAAAUCCAAUGAAUCAAAUCCUAACAUAAUCAAUCAUAAAAUCAACAUCUUCUAAAUAGUUUCAACCAUUCAAAUUACCCCAUAUGUAAAUUCACAACUUACCCAAGAAGUGAGAGAAUCAAGUCCACUUCAACCUUUUGGAAAAUCAAGGAUUCGCUCACUGAAUCAAGAUGUACCUUCAAGAAUUAAGCAUUUCGCCAACAAUUAAAUCCAAUGGCAGCAUCCAACAAAAACCAAGAAACCAACAAAAACCAUAACUUGUUCUUACCCAAAUAUGAGCCCAAUGGUUCACGACGAGGCAGAUCUGGACGACGAUUUGCUUUCCGAGGAGGCACGACGGUUGUGAGCGAAGAGGCACGGCAGUUACAGGCAGAUGGCGCGCGACGGUUUAGAUCUGAAGAAGAAAGAGAGGGUGGCAGUUGGGUUCGGCGAGCGGCGGCGGUUUUGCUUCGCGAACGGAGAUGGAGACGGCAGUUCGGCGCGCGGGACGAUGCAACGCAAAUCUGGACUGGCAGCGGCACGGUCUUGCUUCGCGGCUGGGUAUGGUGAAAAAGAAAGAGAAACGGAAGAAGAGAAGUCUCGGUGCGGUUGCUGGGCUACGGGCGGUUGCUGGGCUGCGGCGGAAGGAGAAAAUGGAAGGAAGAGAUCGGCGGAAAGAAGGAGAAGAUGGAUGGAGUCAGAUCGCACGGGGAAGAAGAAGGGAGAAAGAAAAGAAAAAGAAAAAGAAGAAAAAAAAAUAAUAAAGAAAUUUUAAUACUAAAGUAAAAUAAAAAUAUAUAUAUAUAAUAUAUAAUAUAUAUAUAUAUAUUUACCUUUCUUUGGGCAUUACAUUUUUUUUUUAAUUUUAGCAAAUAACAUUUUUUGCACGUGCAUAAUAUUUAUAAAAUACCAAAAUAUCCACAUUCUCCAACUAAAAUUAUUUUGUUUCUAUGUUGUAAUUAAUUUAUAUUAUGCAUUUAUCAACUUUUAAUUAUUUUUUACCUGAAAAAAGAUACAUAAACUCAUAUAUAUACUUUUUUCUUAAUAUCUCGGGACUCAACUAAUGGAUUCAAGACUUUAACUUUAUUUAAUCUUACUAAUUUCAAAAUAACCUAAUUGAAUUUGAAUUUCAAAAUAACCAAAUUGAAUUUCAACAUAACAAAAUUAUUAUUUUUCAAAUUUGAUAAUCUCAGAAAUAGAUUUUGUAUCAAAAUAACUUUAAUUGAAUUUCAAAAUUAAAAAAUAUCAACUUAUUCACUCUUUAUCUCACAAUAAUAUUAAUGGCUUGAAUAUCAAGAUAAUUAAAUUAUUGUUUUUAAAAUUGGGAGAAACUCAACAUUAAAAAAUAUCAACUUAUUCACACACAAUCACACGCGCACACACAUACAUACACUUGCACGCACGUGCACCCAUACACGCACACACACACGCGUGCACACACACACACACACACAAACGCACACAUGCACACGCACACCAAACCGCACGCACACAAAUACACACACACACGCACACUAAUGGUUCAAUUUCAUCGAUUGUUCCUAUUUUUCUGACAGUUUAUUUUUGCCAUCGAUAGAGGAUCUUCCGACAGACCUGCGUGACGGUGUGUGUUGACAGCUUAAUUUCGUUGGCAAAAGAAAAGUCGAUUAGUUUUUGAAGAUUUACUGACGAUAUUUGUCAUCGACAAAGGGUAAAUUUCUUGUAGUGCAUGUACAUCAAACAUAUCAAAUUUGUUAAGUGUACCAAUGAAGUAUAAGAAGUUUAUUAGUGGUGUAUCAAGCGUAUCAAACUUAUAAGUGAAGUCUUUAAGUGUAUCAAACUAAUCAAGUGUAUCAAGGUCUCAGGGUAUCAAGUGUAUCAAGAAGAAUCAAGUGUAACGAGAAGUAUUAUGUGGAACGAGAAGUAUUAUGUGUAUGAAGAUGUUUCAGGUGUGUAUCAAAAAGUAUCGAGUGUAUCAAUGAGUACCGAGUGCAUGAAUUGUAUCUAUCAAAUGUAUCAAGUGUAUCAGUAAGAAAUAUCAAGUGUAUCAAGCGGUAUUAGGUGUAUCAGACGUGUAUAAGGUGUAUCAAAUGUACAUCAAUAACGAGGGCAUUUGUGACAUUUUACCUCUUGAUGUGUGAGUUGGUCUUUGUUUUUGUCAUUUUCUCAAAUAAUAAAGUAUGUGUUCUAUGAACUUAAUUAUUAUAACUUACACUACUACAAAAACAGGCUCUCUUGACGUUUGCAGUUUUCCUUUCUUGACGUUUUUUUCAAAAAACGUCAAGAAAGAUUUCAUUUUUAAUAAAAAACGUCAAGAAAUUUUUUGAAACAUCAUUCUUGACGUUUAUUAAAUGUCAAGUAAAAUAAAUUUUUCUUUGACGUUUUUAAAACAUCAAGAAAUAUCUAUUAAUUUUUUGACGUUUUAAAACGUCAAGAAGCGUAUGAAUUCGACAUGCUUGACGUUUCUUAAACGUCAAGAAUUUAAAAUUUUACUCGACGUUUUAAAAACGUCAAGAAAUUCAUAAAAUAUUCAAGAAUAUUUUUUAAAUUACACUGAGAAGGUAUCGAAUUUUAAUUUUCAGCUCUAACAUUUUUCCUAAUCUACUUUUUUCUUCUUCACGACUGAGUAUUCGAGGGAGUCAUUUUUUGAAUUUGUUGACAUUUUUUAAACGUUAAGUAAGAUCAUUUUUUUUUUUACAUUUUAAAAAUGUCAAGUGUUAUUAAAUAAAUAUAAAAAAUAUAUUGGGCUAAUUUUAUUUCUUUAAAAUCUCUUUAAAUAUAUAGAUACAAUAAUAAAAAUCUCUUUAAAUAUAUAGAUACAACAAUAAAAAUUUCUUUAAAUAUAUAUAGAAAAAAAAUAUUGUACUAAUAUUAUUCAGAAUCACUUUAAAUAUAUAUAGAAAAAAUUAUUGUGCAAAUAUUAUUUUUUAAAAAGCCCUAGCCCCUUUCUACUCAAAACACGCGUGUUCCCCUUUCCCUCUCCAGCCGAAAUCCUUCCCAUUCGAAAAAAGUGUGUUCAGCAGUCGUCGUUCGCUUUCAACGCCUAUCCGUUCGCCUUCAACGUCUGUCCGUUCGAUUUCACCGUCGAGUUCCACCUCUUCGAAUCCCUCACGUCCGUCGUUUCAAAGUCCUUCGUCCGCUGCAUUCCAUCUUUCCAAAAUCCCUCAGUGCCUCACGCUACUGCGUGCCCGUCAUUUCGACUUCACCAACGAGUGCCUCACGUUCGUUGCUUCAAAAUCCAUCAUCCACUAAGUUGAGGUUAGGCUUUUAUUUCCCUAAAACAUAUAACAAUUUCAUUAUUCUUCAUUAUAUAAACUCAGAUGGCAUGAUUGGCAAUAAUAGAUAGGAAGGAUGGAGGUGUAAACUUCGAAUUGAUUGAAAUUCGUAUACUUUUAUUCAAUCUUUAAAGUACUGUAGUUUUUCUUCACCAUCAAAUUUUAUUAGGAUUUAAAGAAAACAAAUGAAUGUAUGAACAAAUUUUUGGGAGUGCAUGUCAUAUAAUCAACUUCCCUCUUUCAGUAAUUUUGAAGAUCUCAUAUAACAAUACUACUAAUUGAGAGCUUUGGAGGAUGAGUCAAUUCUUCUCCCUUCGUGAAAAGAAAAAGAAAAAAAGAUCAUGUAUUCUCUUUGUUUGUUACCUUAUGUUGUCCAAGGUUUUGCCUUCUUCCUUAAUAAUUUGGAGGUGUUUUAACUAAUUUUUUCAUUCACCCUCUUUUUGCCAUAGUUGCUUUUGUGUGCAGCUUGAGAUUUUUAAUUCAAUUGUGUGUUUUUACUUUUUUCUAUUGGGUGAAUUCUGUUUUGACUUUUUUUAAGCUAAAUAUAAUUAAUUGUUUCCUAUGGAACCAUAACCUUGAUCUUGGUUAUAGAUUUCAUUUUAAGGUAAAAGUAAAACACUCUUAUUUGAAUGAUUAUGUUGUAUUAUCCAUUGAAAGACUUGGUGUUGUAAUUGCCUUGUCUUCCUCAGGUAUUCUGUUGUAUGGUUGAUUACGAUCUUCAUGAUUGGAAUCUUUGUUUAGUGAAGCUCAUUUUGUUUGAUUUACUCAGUCGUGCAAUUGCUUUCUUUUUUAUGAUCACUUUAAAAAAGAAAUGAGUUUAGUUAGUUCUUUUAAUUUUCUUAAGUUUCAUUUGUAAUGCAUGAAAAUCUCUUAGCAGUAGAAACUGAAGACCAUAAUUGUAGAAGAUUUGUAUAGAUUGGAUUCACAUUCUCAACAUUGGUUAUACAGGCAUUACUUAUCAUUGUCCUUCCACUUUAAUUAUCAAUAGUGACAAUAACUUUAUUUCUCAUUAGAUUUACAAUGAUGGAUAAAUCUUGGAUGCACAAGAGUAGAUUGUCUAAAGAUUAUGAGUUGGGUGUGGAAAACUUCAUCAAAUUUGGAUUUUCUAAUACAACUAGCUCCUAUAUUCGUUGUCCUUGUUUGAAAUGUGGGAAUUGUGAAAAACAUAGUAGAAAGGGUGUUAGAGAUCACUUGUAUGUUAAUGGUAUUGAUGAAAGUUAUAAAUUUUGGUUUUGGCAUGGGGAAGAACUUCCUAACUCAUCCUUCUAUGAUGAAUCUUCAAAGUUUGACACCCAUACAUGUGAAGAUCAGGAUGUUGGAAGUGUAAAAGAAAUGAUUGAAGUUGCUCAUGAGGAGUAUUCAAAAGACCCAACUGGAUUUGAGAAGUUGCUUAUUGAUGCUGAAAAACCAUUGUACGAAGGAUGCAAAAAGUACACAAAGUUGUCUACUCUAGUCAAAUUGUAUAAUUUAAAAGUUAGGUAUGGAUAGAGUGAUACUAGUUUUUCAGAAUUACUUGAAACUUUGAAGGAAAUUCUGCCUAAUACCAAUGAGCUCCCGAAUUCAUUGUAUGAAGCAAAGAAAACAUUAGGUGCAUUAGGAAUGGAAUAUGAAAAGAUUCAUGCAUGCCCGAAUAAUUUUGUCUCUAUAGAAAAGAAUUUGCUAAUGCAAUUGAAUGUCAUGAAUGUUGUCAAUCAAGGUGGAAAAACGUCAAGGAUACAAAUGAAAGGAGAAAGCAAAUUCCCUCUAAAGUGAUAUGGUACUUUCCAAUCAUUCCACGAUUUAAAAGGCUAUUCAGAAGCAUUGAAUGUGCUGAAAACUUGACUUGGCAUUCUACUGAAAGAAUUAAUGAUGGUAAGUUACGACAUCCAGCCAGACUCUCCAGCAUGGAAGUUAGUAGACAUGAAAUGGCAAGACUUUGGUUCUGAACCCAUAAAUCUUCGUUUAGCAUUGUCAGCCGAUGGAGUAAAUCCUCAUGGUGACAUGAGUUCUAAAUACAGUUGUUGGCCGGUAGUGAUGGUUAUUUACAAUCUUCCACCAUGGUUGUGUAUGAAAAGAAAGUACAUGAUGCUAUCAAUGCUAAUUUCAGGACCAAAACAACCAGGGGAUGACAUAGGCAUAUACUUAGCACCACUAAUUGAAGAUUUAAAACUUUUAUGGGAAAGUGGUGUUGAAUGUUAUGAUGCUUAUCGAGAAGAACCAUUCAACUUAAGGUCAGUUUUGUUGUGGACAAUCAAUGAUUUUCCUGCAUAUGGUAACCUUAGUGGAUGUUGUGUGAAAGGGUAUAAAGCAUGCCCAAUUUGUGGAGAUAAUACAAAUUCUAUAAGGUUAAAGUAUGGGAAGAAAAUGGCAUACCUUGGACAUCGUAGAUUUUUGGCACGAAAUCAUCUGUAUCGACGACAAAAGAAGUCAUUCAAUGGUAAAAAAGAACUUGAUACAAUUCCAGAGCCACUUUAUGGGGAGGAUGUGUAUUUAAAAUUGAAAGAUCUUGAAUUUUCUAGAGGGAAGAAGAACCAUAAGAAACGGUUGAUGAACAGAAGUGACAAAAUUUGUUGGAAUAGAUUAUCUUCUUUUUUUGAGUUGCCAUACUGGAAGGAUCUUCAUGUUAGACAUUGUUUAGAUGUGAUGCACAUUGAAAAAAAUGUUUGCAUGAAUAUCUUAGGUACAUUUCUUGAUAUUCCUGGAAAAAGUAAGGAUGGAUUGAAUGCUAGACGCGAUUUAGUUGAUCUAAAACUUCGACCAGAGCUUGCCCCUAUCAGAAUAUGUUACUCCUACUAAUUACUUUCAUUAUGUAAAAAAGACAUCUAAACGUGAGGAUGAGAUUAUACUUGAGAAUAAAGAACUUCGAAGGCGUGUAAGCGAAUUAGAAGCACAUAACCACUCAAACUUGUCUAGACCAUUAUCUGGACAUGGUAGCUGUUCGAAGCCAAAUAUCUUAGAAGAGAGUGACUCGAUGAAAAUAAUCAAAGGGAAGAGUAAGUUGAUGGAUAAAAUCGAAGGGAAAGAGGUGGAGGAGAUCAAUGUAAAUGACGACAAAGUAGAGUUGGACAUCUUUAAGGUAUGUGAUCGAUCCUCUAAUAAACUCAAAUUCUUAAUAUUCAUAUCAUAUUGAAAGUGAAUGUUUUUCUUGAAUUAGGAGAGAGCCUUAAUAAAAAUGACUAAGGAAAAAGAGGUUGUCUGUGAAUCGACGUCAGUUUUGCCAAUGGGAAUGAAGUUGAUUCUCAUAUACGUUGAGAAGAUAAUGGAGAAAGAUUCUAGUAUCACUAUUCCACUACUGUUGGCAUUUUUGGUAUUAGUCGAAAGACUUCUGUUCUCCGAGAGGACAUCAUUGAUCUUUGUAACAUGAAUGAGGUCAAAACAUUUACAUUGGUGGCCUAUAUGACGUAAGUAUCAAUUUCAUUUCUUUAGAUCUAAAUUUAUGUAUCUCGUUUACAAGUUUAUAAUAUUUUGUAGGUACUUGUAUUCAUCUGUUCUUGGUUCGAAGGAAACUAUACAGUAUGUCUUUGUAGAUCCAUCCCUCACCUCUGUCGGACACUCGCAAGAAUCUCGAGUUCGACACUUAUGCAGUAGAUUGAUGGUCUCAAAGAUUAACGAAAUAGUUCUUGCUCCUUUUAAUCCUGGGUAAGUCAAGUUAUUUUAUUACUUGCAUUGCAAAAAACUAGUACUAAUAUUUUGUAUAAUUAGGGGUCAUUGGGCACUGCUGGCCAUAAAUGCAUAUGAUGAUAUAGUAUUUUACCUCGACUCACUAAGGACAACAUCGAAGUCAACUAUAAGAUACGUCACCGACACGUAAGUUAAUCUAGUAUUUCAUUUAGUGUUGAUUCUUAUAUGCAUGUACACAAUAUUUAAACUAUUUGUUCAAUCUUAUCUUGUCAAAACAGAGCAAUAGCGAUGUUUCAGUCACAAAAGAACAUUAAAAAAAGUAGAAAACAAACUUUAUGGCUAACAGUAAAGGUAAGUAUCAACUUUUAAAGUCAUUAAAUUUUUGUAGACUACUAGCAAUUAGGAUUACUUUGUUAUUCAAAUUUGUUGCUUUUAUAUAGUGUCCACUGCAAGGAAGUAUUGAGUGUGGAUACUAUGUGAUGAGGUAUAUGAGAGAAAUUGUGACUAGGGGAAGCAUUGUCAUAUCCGAUGCGGUAUGUUAUAUAUCAAACUAUUGGUUUUGUGAGUUAAUUGGUUUAUUUGUAUAGUCAGUUAAUUCAUUUAAUUUAUUUUGUAUGUUUAUUGAUUGAUACACGAAGAUCAUACUCACAGGCAGAACUACACGAGGUGCGAGUUGAGUUAGCUGACUUUUUGGGUUCUUACAUAUGAUUAUGACCAAUAUUUUGUGAUUCUGAAGUAGGAAAUUUUUUGUUGUGUCGCUUCUUUAUGACCCUAAACUUUAUGUAUAGAAACUUUAGCCGAUAAUUCUUUUGAAUUGUUCAUAUGGAGGAAGGGGGGAGGGGGGUUCAUUCGUAUAUAUUUUUAUUAUUGUUAUAGCUAGCAUGUUUUGUGACUUUUUAAGUUGAUUUGGAUUCAUGGCAAUGUAAUGCCAUAUGAAAUCUAAUGUAAAGCCUAUUUCAUUAUGUAUAUGUAAAGUCUUGGAAUUGAAUAUAUAUGGUGAAUGGUUUUAUUUAUAUAUGUUUGAGAUUUGAAACUAUAUUUGAUGAAUAUCAAAUAUCUAUGAAACUGUUGUGGACAAUUACAGGAUAAUUACAGGACAAUCAGAAUAUAUUUCUUUCCAUUACAGCAUAAUUCAAUUACAAUUUCUUUUUUUAAAAAAAAUUAAAAAAUGCUUGACGGUUUUAAAAUGUCACGAACAAUUGCAAGCUUGACGGUUUUAAACUGUCAUGAACAAUUGCAUUUUUACGGUUGACAAAUGUCAAAACAAUUACAUUCUUGACAGUUUUAAAAUGUCAUGAAUAGUAAAAUUCUUGACGGGUUUAAAAUGUCAUAAACCAGUUCAUCCUUGACGGCUUUAAAAUGUCAUAAACAAUACCAGUCCUGACGGUUCUAAAACGUCAUGAACAUAAGUAUAUUUGACGUUUAUAAAACGUCAACGUUCACUAUUCUUGACGUUUAAUCAACCGUCAAGAACUUUGCCUUUCUUGACGCUGGCUUCAACGACGUUUUUAAAACCGUCAAGAGAGCCGUCUCUUGAAGUUUAAAAACGUCAAGAGAGCCUGUUUUUGUAGUAGUGUUAUUUUGCCAUUUUCGCAAGUGUCCCUUAAUUGUAAUACAUGUAUAUGUGACAUAAUCUAAUCAAACUAACCAUAAAUGGACUUAAUGUAUCAGGUAUUAGGUGUAUCAGACGUGUAUAAGGUGUAUCAAAUGUACAUCAAUAACGAGGGCAUUUGUGACAUUUUACCUCUUGAUGUGUGAGCUGGUCUUUGUUUUUGUCACUUUCUCAAAUAAUAAAGUAUGUGUUCUAUGGACUUAAUUAUUAUAACUUAUUUUGCCAUUUUCGCAAGUGUCCCUUAAUUGUAAUACAUGUAUAUGUGACAUAAUCUAAUCAAACUAACUCAUAAAUGGACUUAAUCGAUCUCAUGGACCACGAAUUCUUCAAUUACUUGCAAAUUUGGUGAGUUCCUUCAAACAGUGGGCGAAGAGCUUAAUUUUGAGAGAGAGGAAAAGUCGUGAAGAGUAUAUGCGAGAGAGGGGGAACGUGCCAGAGAGCAUUUGCGAGAGAGCUAAAGACAGCGACGAUGUGGGAUGAAGUAAGGUUUUUUUCGGUCGUUGUUCACAGUGGGAUGAAAGCUUCGAAUUAUUUGUUUUAAAUCAAAAGGCGUAAUGAUUGAAGGAAAACAUUUAUUUUUUAUUAGGGUAAUUUUUAAUGACACAUAAUUUAUGUCAUUAAUUAACAAUGCGAAAAUUUUGUCAAGAAAACUCAAUUUGUGUCACGAAAAAUUUUGUAUUUUUAUUUUUAACGACACAUUUUAUUCCCUCAUGUCCCUUUUUCUUGAUUUCAAGUGUCAUUAAAACUUAUUGUUGAAUAAGAAAUUUUGAGACCAAUCACAAGUUGCCACAUCAUUUAUUAAGUUAAUGAUGAAAAGUACAAAUAAUUAAAUUUGGGACUAAUUAAAAUUGACAUAUGCUCCAAAUUAAAGAGUUGAAAAUAAAUAAAAUGGUCAUUCUAAUAAUGCCACAUGUUUUCAUAUUAAUAGUUGGAUUAAGUUAAUCAUUUUAGUUCAAUUAAAUAUUAUUUACUUGGACUAAGUUCAAUUAAGCCCAAAAAAUAAGCUUAAUUGAGCCCAAAGACUAAAUAUAACCUAAGUCCAUAUGGUUGAGCCCAUGCGUCUGGUCCAUGGACCAACUAGGUUCAAACCCAUAAAGCCCACCAGUGAACUCUAUAAAUAGAGGAAUUCUCCUCAUUUGUAGGGGUUGGAAAAUAUUGACUCUAGAAGAUCCAGAGAGAAUUCUUCAAAGAGCUAGAAGACUCCCUAACUCCUGAAGUUGACCAUCCUCGAAGAUUGAAGCUUCUUUAAAGAUACAAGCUUUCUUCCAAGGCUUCAACUUCAAGAACAUCACGUGCUUCGCUUCCUCCAAAUCAAGCUGAAGCAUCCAGUUGAGAGAGAAUCAGAGGAUCAAAUUCUAGAGAUUGAACCGCAUCGCAUCAAAUCAACAAAAAUACAACAUCAACUCAAGUUCAAGUCCACGAAUUAAAUUUCUCCAGAAAUCUCGUGCGAACAAAUUGGCACGCCCAGUGGGACCAUCUCUACCUCUCAUCUCUCUCUCAUCAUCUAGAUCUACAAGCAAAUCAAUGGCAUCAAAGAAAGUUGCAUCCAAAUCUUCAGCUGCAAGCGACACCUACACGGGACCUAUCACCUGUAGUCGUUCCAAGGGGAUCAUCCAAGGGCAAGACCAAGGUUCCGCCAUCGCGCAGAGCAUCCUGAAGCAAUUAAUGGAAUCUCCUAAAGCUGGAAUUGUCAUCAAGGAAAAUCCUCUAUAUAAUGAUUAUGAUUCUGCCUCUAGCAGGUCACUGAAAGAAGCACACCCAGAUGUGAUGUCCGUCAUGAUGGCUGAUGUAGCAGUCGAGACUGCCAUGGCGGAGAUGGAGAGAAAAUUAAUCUCCUGAUGAAGGUUGUUGAUGAACGAGACCACGAAAUUACAGCUUUAAAGGAGCAGAUGCAGACUCGUGAAACUCUGAAUCGAGUCAAACUUGUCGUUAAAGUUGAUGACAAAGGGAAGAACGUGGUACAAGAAAAUCAGCCACAACAACAAUCAACUUCUGUGGCUUCUCUCUCGGUUCAACAAUACAAGAUAUGAUCACAAACUCCAUCAGAGCACAAUAUGGAGGCCCAUCUCAGACUUCUUUCAUGUACUCUAAACCAUACACCAAAAGAAUCGACAACUUGAGAAUGCCGCUUGGAUAUCAGCCUCCAAAAUUCCAGCAGUUUGACGGAAAGGCAAUCCAAAACAGCACGUUGCUCACUUCGUCGAAACAUGUGAGAAUGCAGGAUCAAGAGGAGAUCAACUAGUCAGACAAUUUGUUCGAAGCUUGAAAGGAAAUGCUUUUGAAUGGUAUACUGAUCUGGAGCCAGAAAGCAUUGAGAGUUGGGAACAACUAGAAAAGGAGUUUCUCAAUCGCUUCUACAGCACCAGGCGUACUGUAAGCAUGAUGGAGCUUACAAAUACGAAACAAAGAAAGGGAGAACCAGUCAUCGACUACAUCAAUAGAUGGAGAGCUCUAAGUCUUGACUGUAAAGAUCGGCUCACCGAACUGUCGGCUGUAGAAAUGUGCACCCAAGGCAUGCACUGGGGACUCCUCUACAUUUUGCAGGGAAUAAAGCCCCGCACAUUUGAAGAACUGGCAACUCGAGCUCAUGAUAUGGAGUUGAGCAUCGCCAGUAGAGGAACUAAAGAUUUUCUUGUUCCUGAAGUAAAGAAAGAUAAGAAAGAGAUGAAAGGUGCUGAAAAGAUAGUGAAAAGCACCGCGAAAGAAUCUAUGGUCGUAAACACAACCCCGCUGAAAUUCUCCAAAGGAAAGGAAGCGAGGGUUGAAAAGAAGGAUGAUGGAAGCGAAAGGCGACGUCUGACUUUAAAAGAAAGGCAGGAAAAAGUUUACCCAUUUCCUGAUUCAGAUAUCGCUGACAUGCUAGAGCAACUACUAGAGAAGCAGCUGAUCCAGCUGCCAGAAUGUAAACGACCUGAGCAAGCAGGAAAGGUAGAUGAUCCCAAUUACUGCAAGUAUCAUCGGGUCAUCAGUCAUCCAGUAGAGAAAUGCUUCGUGCUGAAGGAGCUAAUUCUAAGGUUGGCUCGUGAGAAAAGGAUUGAGCUAGAUUUGGAGGAAGUAGCUCAAACAAACCACGCUGAAGUGACGAUAAUGUCUGAGGCUUCUUCGUCGAGAUUGAUUUUUGAGCAAAGGAAAAGCUUGGUCCAGUUCGGGACCUUUGAGCCUAUAGUUGUCCAAUUCUUUCAGGAAAUCUCAUACGAGGAUCCUCAAGGAGAGAAAAGACCAAUCGAAGAAGACGAUGAAGGGUGGAUAGUGGUGACCCACCGAAAGAAAAGACAGUCGAUCCCGACCCAAAGAGAGUCUCGCUCUUACCAAAACUAUAGAAGAGGAAAUAAGACUCAAAAGAAUAAGAAAAAGAAGAAGACUCAUAAGCUUAAGCUCGUACAUAAUGAAGACAUGAAUUUCUCUCGACCUCAACGCUUAGUGACCUUGCAGACUUCCUUCCAAAAAGCUUCCUUUGUGAUCAUCAGGAUGAAGACCCAGAAGUCGUUGCGUGUCAUGCUAUCAACACAACGGAGGAAGAAAUAAUCCCUCCAAGAUCACUAGAAGGAGAGGGAGUAUCAAAAGACCUUUCAAGGUUUAAUGUAGAGGAUCUAUUAUCACUUCCUCAAGAGACCAAAACCAUCCUUAUUGAUGCAUUGCUAAAUUCAAGAGCAUCAAGUUCGAGUACUCCGACUAUGACAUAUGAGAGUGGUUCUUAUUGUAUGUCUAUAGACUUCUCAGAUGAGGAUUUGUUGUUGGGAUCUAAACUUCAUAAUAGACCUUUGUAUGUUUCUGGAUACGUUCGAGAACAGAGAGUCGAUCGAAUCCUCAUUGAUAAUGGCUCAGCUGUCAACAUAAUGCCAAAGUCGACUAUGUGGCAAUUAGGCAUCUUGAUGGACGAGCUCUCAAAUAGCAAGCUAGUAAUUCAAGGUUUUAACCAAGGUAGCCAAAGAGCAAUAGGCAUGAUACGGUUAGAACUCAUAAUUGGCGACCUAAAGGCCAGUGCAUUGUUUCAUGUCAUAGACUCAAGGACUACUUACAAGUUGUUACUAGGGCGUCCUUGGAUUCAUGGAAACGGAGUAGUAACUUCAACACUGCAUCAGUGCUUCAAAUUUUAUCAGGACGGUGUAAAGAAGGUUGAAGCCGACUCUAAUCCAUUCUCAGAAGCUGAGUCUCACUUCGCAGAUGCAAAGUUUUAUUCAAAGAAUAAUAAUAUUUUAGAAGUUUUGCCUGCAGAAACCCCUCUUACAAAAGGAGAAGAUAAUUCACAACUGAAAUCACUCGCAACCACAGAACCACAUGAAAGUGCGAGAACCUUUAACUCUGGAAAGGGUGAAGCAUACACUAGCAGCACAAAGGGUAUGAUCUUGAAGGAUGAAAAUGCUGCAAACACACCAGUUUUGCGUUAUGUCCCUCUGUCAAGGCGCAAGAAAGGCGAAUCACCAUUCAUGGAGUCUCCAAAAGGUUUGAAAGUUGGUGACAUCGAAAUCAUAAAAGAAAGCUUCACUACACCACUAACUAAGAUAGCGAAGCAGGAGGUAAAGGUAGAUCUGGUGGAAGCAAACUUGCCCCAAAGGCGAACGAAAGACGGAUUCGACCCCAAGGCUUACAAAUUGAUGGCGAAAGCAGGUUAUGACUUCACAGCUCACACCGAGUUUAAAAGCUUGGAAAUUCAUGACCGACCUGAGCUCUCCUCAACUCAAAAGAAGCUUCUACGGAAGGACAUUCUAUACCCGUGUCGAGAAAAGGACUCGGAUACAAGUCGCCAGAACCGAUCCGUAUAACUAAAAAGGGAAGGAAAAAGUGGUUGACAUCAAUCAUAUAACUAUAGAGGAUGACAAUACUGACGUAAAAGAAGGUGAUAAUCAGAGAAUCUCAGUAUUUGAUCGAAUUAGACCAUCUGUUGCACGUCCCGUAGUAUUUGAAAGGCUAAGCAUGACAGAGGCAGAAAGAGAAAGGCUCCAGUCAGUACCAAACCUUGAGAGACAUUCGGUCUUUCGAAGGCUAACUACGACUCCCAUAAAGGAAGAAAGCACAUGCCAUGCCUUGACAACUACAAGACCAUCAGCCUUUGAAAGGCUAGGUGUGUCUAAAAAAAAAAUGUACAAGCACCCCGUGCUCCGAUUUUUAAUCAUCUCGGGGAUAAAGGAUCACACGACAACAUUGAUUCCAACAUAGCAAAGAAGAAGGAACCAAUGUCUCGUGUGAAAGUUUGGCGUCGAAUUAAGCAUACAGAUGUCGAUAAUUAUCGUAGUAAGAAGUUUCCUUGCGAGACAAAGGAAAAUGGAGAAAUUCAUAGCAACGUUCCUUCUCGCAUGAAAAGAAAAACUUUUGUUACUCUCAAUACAAGUCAAGGUUCGUUAAAGGUAAAAAGACAUGAUGUUAUACUAACGAAUCCUGAAAAAGAAGGGUCGGAACAAGGGGAAGGUGAAACUUCAUGUCAUCACAUCACCAUUAUUGAGGAAUCAGAGACUGGAACUCAUGAAGAAGACGCAGAAAAUGCCCCACAAAGUUUAGAGGAUGGUGGUCAAUCUACUGUAGACGAGCUAAAAGAGGUGAACCUUGGUACAAUAGAGGAACCACGUCCGACUUUCAUUAGUGCGUCCCUCUCUAACGAAGAGGUGGAUAAAUAUAUGAGUUUGCUCACCGAAUACAGGGACAUCUUUGCGUGGUCGUACAAGGAGAUGCCAGGACUUGACCCAAAAGUAGCAGUCCAUCAUCUUGCAAUUAAACCGGAUAUCGACCGAUUAAACAAGCACAACGACGUUUUCGACCGGAGCUUAUCCCUCAAAUCGAGGUGGAAGUCAACAAGUUGAUCGAAGCAGGAUUCAUUCGCGAGGUCAAAUAUCCAACGUGGAUAGCAAACAUUGUCCCUGUUAGAAAAAAAAAUGGACAACUUCGCGUUUGUGUAGACUUUCGCGAUCUGAAUAAUGCAUGCCCUAAAGAUGAUUUUCCCUUGCCCAUCACCGAAAUCAUGGUUGAUGCAACUACUGGACACGAGGCGUUGUCGUUUAUGGAUGGGUCGUCUGGAUAUAAUCAAAUACGGAUGGCCCUCUCAGAUGAAGAAAUGACAGCUUUCAGAACUCCAAAGGGAAUAUACUGUUACAAGGUGAUGCCCUUUGGAUUGAAAAAUGCCGCGCUACUUAUCAACGUGCCAUGCAGAAAGUGUUUGAUGAUAUGUUGCACAGGUAUGUUGAAUGUUAUGUUGAUGAUCUUGUAGUCAAAACAAAGAGACGACAAGACCAUUUGAAGGAUCUAAAAGUCGUGUUUGAUCGCUUGCGAAAAUAUCAGCUAAGGAUGAACCCUCUCAAGUGUGCGUUUGGUGUAACUUCAGGAAAAUUUCUUGGCUUCAUUGUAAGGCAUCGAGGGAUCGAAAAUAGACCAGUCCAAGAUUGAUGCCAUUCAGAAGAUGUCAAGACCUAAAAGUUUGCAUGACCUAAGAAGUCUCCAAGGACGACUGGCUUACAUCCGAAGGUUCAUCUCUAACUUGGCCGGUCGGUGUCAACCUUUUCAAAAGUUGAUGAGAAAAGGAGAAAAUUUUGUGUGGGAUGAAGCUUGUCAGAACGCUUUUGAUAGCAUAAAGAAAUACUUGCUUACUCCCCCAGUGCUGGGAGCUCCAGUACCUGACAAACCACUAAUAUUGUACAUUGCUGCACAAGAAAGGUCCUUAGGAGCAUUACUGGCACAAGAAGAGGUAAAGGGAAAGGAGCGUUCUCUCUACUAUCUAAGCAGAACAUUAAUUGGGGCUGAAGUUAACUAUUCUCCUAUCGAAAAGAUGUGUCUUGCACUUUUCUUUGCCAUUGAUAAGUUGAGGCAUUAUAUGCAGGCCUUCACGGUUCAUCUAGUGGCAAAAGCAGACCCUAUAAAGUAUGUUCUAUCCAGGCCAAUCAUCGCUGGACGCUUAGCCAAAUGGGCGGUUCUACUCCAACAAUAUGACAUUGUCUAUAUUCCCCAAAAGGCGAUAAAAGGACAAGCGCUAGCAGACUUUUUAGCAGACCACCCAAUUCCUUCGGAUUGGAAGUUAUGUGAUGACCUACCAGACGAUGAGGUUUUCUUCACAGAAGUUAUGGAACCUUGGACUAUGUACUUCGAUGGUGCAGCUCGAAGAAGUGGUGCGGGGGCAGGCAUUGUCCUCAUUUCUCCUGAGAAGCAUAUGUUGCCUUAUAGCUUUGCACUUUCCGAAUUGUGUUCAAACAAUGUGGCUGAAUAUCAGGCUUUGAUAAUUGGCCUUCAAAUAGCAUUAGAAAUCGGAGUGUCAUUCAUAGAGGUCUAUGGUGAUUCAAAAUUGAUAAUCAAUCAACUCUCGCUUCAAUAUGACGUGAAACAUGAAGACUUGAAGCCAUAUUUUGCUUAUGCUCGACAAUUGAUGGAAAAGUUUGAUAAUGUGAUGUUAGAACAUGUCCCUAGAGUAGAAAAUAAGAGAGCGGAUGCAUUGGCAAAUUUAGCCACGGCCUUGACCAUGCCAGAUGAUGUAACUCUGAACAUACCACUUUGUCAACGAUGGAUUAUACCCCCAGUUAGGCCUGAAUGUCAGGAAGUGAACAUGGCAACAUCCUAUUUGAUUGAUGAAGAAGAUUGGCGUCAACCCAUCAUAGAGUAUCUUGAACAUGGAAAGCUUCCAAAGGAUUCUCGUCAUAAAAUUGAGAUACGAAGAAGGGCAGCACACUUCAUUUAUUACAAGGGAACUUUAUAUCGCCGUUUUCUUGAAGGGCUCUUCCUUCGAUGUCUCGGAAAGGAAGAUUCGGUAAAAGCUCUAAAGGAAGUACAUGCAGGUGUUUGUGGAGCACAUCAAUCGGGACCAAAGCUUCAAUUCCAGCUAAGAAGAAUGGGCUACUACUGGCCUAAGAUGAUCCAAGAUUCAAUAGACUAUGUGAAGAAGUGUGAGCCUUGUCAAUACCAUGCAAACUUCAUACACCAACCUCCAGAACCUCUUCAUCCAACUGUGGCUUCUUGGCCUUUUGAGGCUUGGGGACUCGAUCUGGUUGGCCCCAUUACACCAAAAUCAUCAGCAGGACAUUCUUAUAUCCUAGCAGCAACAGACUAUUUUUCAAGGUGGGCUGAGGCCAUUUCAUUGAGAGAAGCCAAGAAGGAGAACGUGGCAGACUUUAUUCGAACACACAUCAUCUAUCGAUACGGUAUUCCACAUCGAAUCGUGACGGAUAAUGGAAAGCAAUUCUCCAAUAGUAUGAUGGACAAGUUAUGUGAAAAAUUCAAAUUCAAGCAAUAUAAGUCAUCCAUGUACAACGCAGCUGCGAAUGGACUAGCAGAAGCAUUCAACAAAACAUUGUGUAAUCUUUUAAAGAAAAUUGUCUCCAAGUCAAAGAGGGAUUGGCAAGAAAAGAUCGGCGAGGCAUUAUGGGCUUAUCGGACGACUCAUCGCACCCCUACAGGGGUUACACCAUAUUCGCUUAUUUACGGUGUGGAGGCUGUCCUUCCUCUCGAAAGGGAAAUUCCGUCACUAAGAAUGGCAGUACAAGAGGGAUUGACUACCGAAGAUAAUGUGAAGUUACGUCUUCAAGAAUUAGAAGCACUUGACGAAAAGCGAUUAGAGGCUCAGCAAGCAUUGGAAUGUUAUCAAGCGAGAAUGUCCAAAGCUUUUGAUAAACACGUUAAACCUCGCUCCUUUCAAGUCGGUGAUCUAGUACUUGCCGUAAGGAGACCGAUCAUCACAACAAGGCAUACAGGAAAUAAGUUCACACCUAAAUGGGAUGGACCUUACAUUGUUAAAGAAGUUUAUACAAAUGGCGCAUACAAGAUCGUUGAUCAAGACGGACUACGAAUUGGCCCAAUCAAUGGUAAAUUUCUUAAAAAAUUUAUGCUUAAUUUUGUUAGGUAAAAAAAAAAAAAAAAAAGUUGAACUACGUUAUGACUUGAUCCCUAUAUUAUAAAGGGUACGUAGGCAGCUUAAGGAAAACCUUAAGCCCAGUCCAGCAAAAAAAAAGUUGAACUACGUUAUGACUUGAUCCCUAUAUUAUAAAGGGUACGUAGGCAGCUUAAAGAAAACCUUAAGCCCAGUCCAGCAAAAAAAAAAAGUUGAACUAUGUUAUGACUUGAUCCCUAUAUUAUAAAAGGCAGCUUAAAGGAAACUUUAAGUUCAGUCCAAUAAAAAAAAAAGGAAGAAAGACAAAUUACAUUUAAUAGAAAAUAUGAUGAGGAGUGGAACAAUGAAAGAAUAAUUUUUUUUUUAUUAUUAUUAUAAACUUCUAGCAAAAAAAAAUUAAAAAGGCAUAAGUAGAUAAAUAAGAGAAAGCAGAGAAUCAUGGAGUCCAUUUAAAGUUCUUCAGCUCCUCUAGUGUGCUUUCUAAAGAUUCACGAAGUGUUGAUAGCAUUUUAGCAUCAAUAUCUCCAACGAUCGGGGCACAUUCGAGUUUGUCAAUUUCCUCACAAGUCUUCGAAAUCUCAUGUUGCUUCUGCUUCAGCUCCAGGUCGUUCUUAAAAAUUAUUCCAGAAAGUUUAGCAGACUCAACCCGCACCAUCUUUAGUUUUGCCUCUAGUUUAGCCUCCUUAGCGGACAGUCGUGUAAGACGACGUUUAGCAGUGUUGGUCUCUGCUAAUAUACGAUUCUCAUCAACUCGCAGAGUCUUCACAAAACCUUUUGCCUCCGUUAGCUGAACAUCCUUAGUUGAUUGGAGUGGAAAUGAGGAAUGUAUUUGAUUAUGGUUCUCGACACCUUGGAAGUAACCAUUCACAAGCUCCCUCAAAACAAUAAGGUUGUCGCUGCCGUUAGUCGCAAUCGCAUCAAAGAUCUUAUGCAUUUCUGGUUCAAGACUACUCAGUCGUUCAAAAGGGGUACGAAUGAUCUUCUGUCGUAGGUUUUCCCAUAAGGUUAUGGCAGCCUGUCGUCGGAGGUCAGAAAUUAAGCUGUCAGCACAAAAAUGAGAAAUCUCAGAAACUGUAAUAGGCUCUGUGCCUUCCACUUUUUGAGGAGGUCCCUUGAUCACAGGAGGACAAGCAGACACAAUAUUUGCGCCUAUAGGUUCCUUAGAGUUCCCAUUAUAAGAAAGUACAACGUUACAGUCUUCUAGAUUCAGCAUCAACUCUAGGGUAUCUUCGAUGUGUAGGUCAUGAUCACCUAAAGAAUACUACAAAAUAAUAUUAACAACAAGAAAUAAGGGGAGUAAAGGAGAGAAAAUACAAUCAAUAAAUAAAUAAAAUUGGGAGACGAAAAGAAACCAUGGGGGAAGGGACAUCGAAAAAUUGUGCAGCAUCAGGGACCCGAAUAGGAGACUCUUCAUCAUCGAUCGACUGUUUGUUAGGCUUCUUGGGUCUCUUCCAAUGGCGAUCAUCAUUGCUGCUUUGACUGUCCUCAAUACGUUUAGAAGGAUGCUUGGUAGCUAUCGAUAAGCGGUUGUCCUUACCCAUAUUGUCAAUACCACCUUUAAUAAGAUGUUUAAAUCGUGUAGAAAGAGACAAAUUAUCCACCAAGCGUUUUGUCCCUCCCUCAAUUUUCUCCACAAGUCGUUCAUCAGUUUCAUCGGAGCAUAUCUUCUGAUUUCCACUACCAAAAUUAUGUUCAAUCUUUUUUGUGGUUUUGGAUUUGAUGUGAGGGGGAGUAGGACGAUCUAUCAAAUGUUGUACUCCUUCUUGGAGGUAAUCACCGUGUUUUGCAAGCCACCAGACCUUAUAAUGAGAGGUAACAUGUGUGUCUGGAUUAGGGGCAGACACAGGAAGAUAUACUUGGGAAAGUGUAUUCUCGCGAAUACAAAUCAUCCAACAAUAUCGUACGUUAAAAAAAUUGGCUUCGGGAAUUUCUUCACCUAAGUCAUAUGGCACGUCUUGAUAAAAUCCAAAUGGUCGGCUAAAGCGACAAGGACUAUAAGGCUCAAUAACUGUGGAGGAUCCACAUUGCGAGGAUAGAAAACAAGAGCAAAUGCUUAUGAAAAAUGAAGCAUUCUAACUAAUUAACUCUCCAUCAUCCGUUAAGAGUUCGUCCUUAUUCUUUGUUGGAAGACACGCAUGCCAUGACACAUACUUUCCCUUGUGGAUAUGUGUUCGAGCCUCAAGAUUAGUAUAAUAUUUGGCCCCACCUUCACCAGAAAAUUCAACCAUGCGAGGACCCCUAAGACUCCUAGGGGCUUUAUAAUGAGUGUUGAAGUAAAGAGCAAGCCACCCAUGGACAUAGUGAAGAGGAAAACAGGCAUUUGAAUAACCAAGUGAUGAAGUAGAAUCAUGAACUUGGCGUAGGCCACUAUAAAUAUUAGCUAAAACAGGGACGGCAAGGCUAAAUGUGUAGCCUUCCGCCAUGAGGCUAGCAACCUUAAAAACCUCCGGACGAAGGGAAAGUUGCUUAUCAGGGAACACAAACACACAUAGCCAACAAGAGAGAAAUGCCGCUAGAUAGGUUUUGUCCCUAUGAUCAUCAGUGACGCUUAAGUCAAGGAACACUUUGAGUUCAGCUUUAGACCAGUCAGGACGUCUGAUGGGAAUUCCAUCUGGAUUAUGAGUUGAGCGAGGGCGAGAAGUCUUUUUAGGCUUUCGAGGAGGCGGUUUCGAAUACUUUACCUCAGAUCGUGUAACCCAAAAAGAGAUCCAUUCACUUACAGUGAUUUGAGAGUGAUCCAUGCGUUGAGAAACAAUGCGGUAAUAGGCUGCAAAUAAAUGCUCACAACUUCUUGGACAUACAUCAGGUGAUCCUAUUAAGUCUUGGUGGCAAGGAAUGCUUUCUUCAUAAAAUCUACCUUUAAUCGGGAGUCCUCCUAGUAUCCAUAAGUCCCAUAAGGAGAUGGACAUCUCACCAGCUGAGGUGUGAAGAGUGUUUGUUGAAGGACACCAUGCCUCGCAGAAAGCCCGAUCAAUGUCACUGUUGCGAUCAUAUGUAUAUAGGGAAGCCAUCACAGCAUUAAAUAGGGAGGCUCGCUUGAGUACUGCCGUAUUUCUAGCAACAACGAGCUCUAACCACUCCCAAUAAUGAGGAAGAUAGUAAAAUUCUCCAUGUACCUUGAGCACAUUUCCCCAACGAAUUUUUGGGUCGUUUAUAAUUCGACGACCCAACGUUGAUUCUGGAUCCUCAUUUGGAGGCUUGUUGUGAAUCGAAGACUCCAGAAACCAAGAUUUUAAAGAUGAAUUUGGAUUUACAAACCGUUCCUUGGACCAUUUAGGCAAAAAGAUAAAAUUGUCCUCGGGUAUUUGAGAGUCCAUAAUAUUCUCAUAUGUCCCCUCUCUCACAGGAAGAAUGAUCCCUUCCUCUAAAGAUUGAUCUACGUCCUUCAGGAUAAUUAAACACCUUUUGGUCGAGUCAGAAUACUCAGUGAAGUGCACCAUGAUGAAAAGAAGAGUUCCUGCAAAAUAAUAAUAAUAAUAAGAAGAAGAAGAAAUAGAAAAAAAAAAAAAAACCAAAACAAAAAAAAAAAAAAAAAAAAAAAAAAAAAAAAAAAAAAAAAAAAAAAAGAAAGAAGAAAAAAAAAAGAAAGAAAGAAGAAAAAAGGGGGGGGAAGAAAAAGCAAAUGGAGAUUGAAGCCCGACGAUGACAGAGUCGAUCUCUCCUACUAGGGCGAUAGAUCUGACGGCAAAAGCCCGAUCGUCCCUAGAAGAAGCUCAACAAAGUCAUUUCUGCAAACGAAGAUCGAAGCCCGACGAUGACAGAGUCGAUCUCUCCUACUAGGGCGAUAGAUCUGACGGCAAAAGCCCGAUCGUCCCUAGAAGAAGCUCAACAAAGUCAUUUCUGCAAACGAAGAUUGAAGCCCGACGAUGACAGAGUCGAUCUCUCCUACUAGGGCGAUAGAUCUGACGGCAAAAGCCCGAUCGUCCCUAGAAGAAGCUCAACAAAGUCAUUUCUGCAAACGAAGAUUGAAGCCCGACGAUGACAGAGUCGAUCUCUCUAACUAGGGCGAUAGAUCUGACGGCAAAAGCCCGAUCGUCCCUAGAAGAAGCUCAACAAAGUCAUUUCUGCAAACGAAGAUCGAAGCCCGACGAUGACAGAGUCGAUCUCUCCUACUAGGGCGAUAGAUCUGACGGCAAAAGCCCGAUCGUCCCUAGAAGAAGCUCAACAAAGUCAUUUCUGCAAACG
RNAcentral lists this long non-coding RNA (58902 nucleotides) under Cucumis sativus (cucumber). Its description in RNAcentral is "long non-coding RNA (CSAT_LNC002698)". The record is from RNAcentral. Lineage: Eukaryota; Viridiplantae; Streptophyta; Magnoliopsida; Cucurbitales; Cucurbitaceae.